GGACUGGUGUUCUAGGAGGGAGGCAGUUGAAGUGGUUGAGACAUUUGAAUGAGAUGGAGGAGGAACGGGAGAAGUUGUAGUGGAGAUUUGUUGCAGAGAGGAAGGUGGAGUAGCUGUGGAAGUGGAUGUGACAACAGUGUCAAAUUUGUUGAAGAACAGGUUGAGUUCAUCAGCCCUUUUCACAUCACCCACCACUGGCUGUCUUUUUUUUUUACUUCUGUGUCCAGAGAUGGUACUGAUUCCUCUCCACACUUCACAGAUGUUGUUGUGUUGUAGAUUCCUCUCUAUCUUGUUUUUGUACUCCAGCUUUGCCAUCUUCAGUCUCCUCUUCAACUCUUGUUGAACUUGUUUGAGUUGUUCUUUGUCACCAUCUUUAAAAGCUUUCUUUUUCUGGUUAAGGAUUGCUUUUAUGUCACUCGUGAUCCAGGGUUUGUUGUUGAGGAACAGUCUUUGUAGGUAUCAUUUUUAUUGUAUUUUAUUGUAUUGUAUUCAGUAGAGCAGUCAACCUGUUUAUCAACGUUCAUACUAUCCACAUCUGUUUCCAGCAGCACAUUCCAGUCUGUUGAUUUAAAACAGUCCCUUAGAGCUUCACUAGCUUGAGGUGUCCAUCUUCUUUUUUUGACUUUGGUCACAGGCUGCCUUAGUACACAAGGUCUGCAGCAGGUUUGCAGAUAGACCAAGUUAUGAUCUGACUUGCCCAGUGGUGGUAAGGCAGUGGCUCUGUAGGCUUCUUUGAUGUUGGCAUACACCAGAUCCAGGAUCUUGUUUCUCUGGUAUAAAAGUUCACAAACUGUGUGAAUCCAGUCAGGUGAGAGGAGAGGGUGACAUGGUUGAAGUCUCCUGAUAUUAUUAUUAGUACCUCCGGGCGUUGAGUCUGUAGCCUAGCAGCACUAUAAUGCAAAAGAUUGCAUGGAAUUUCUUCAGUUGAUUAGGGUGGGAUGUAAACAACUACUGUUAUGAUAUGACUAAAUUCUCUUGGAACAUAAUAUGGCAGAAGAGCAACUGCCAACAGUUCAAUGUCUGGACAACACAGCUUCUCCUUCACAGUUAUGUGUGAAGGGUUACACCAUCUCUGGUUGACAAAUAAAGCCAGACCUCCUCCUUUUUUCUUGCCACUAGCUUAAGCAUUUCUGUCUGAUCCUAUGAGAGUGAAGCCAGGUAGAUCUGCACUGGAGUCUGAGUUGUUUUGAUUCAAUCUCGUCUCUGACAACUGCCCUCCAUGUUAUACAAAACUAAAACUGACAUUAAAGCGUAUAAAAACUAAAGGAAAGCUGAGCAUUAAAAAAAUCUUAAUAAAGAUGAAAAAUGAAAAAUAAAAAACUAACUGAAACAAAAAACAAAAAGCCAAAAUGAAAUUUAAAUGAAAACUUAACUAUUAAUAAACAAAGAGGAGGGAAAGGGAAACAAUGUCUCUUAAAGGAGCUACACUAAUCGUCAAAAUUUUAUAUCACAAUUACGACACAUAAUCUCAUAAAUCUGAGACUGACUAAAUGGGAUGCUGGUUGGUCAAAUACUCAUGUUAUCUUAUAUGAAUGAAUGACUUUCCCUUCAAUAAAGUUCUUCUUCCAGUGUAAAACCUUCACACACUUACAAGUAAAAUGCUCUUACACACACUACUAAAAUGCUCUUAUACAUACUACUUAAAUGUUGUGUUCUCACACACACACUAAUGAAACGCUCUCACAUACACAAUUGAAACGCUCUUACAUACACUGCUGAAGAAUGGACUCAGUAGAGGAUGUGGUGGAGAGAUCUACACUGAGGAAGGUGGAGACUAUUCUAAAGAACGUGGAUCACCCACUUCACACCUUGAUGGACCAAGGGACCAAUGGUGGUGGACGGCUCCUCUCUCUUCACUGCAGGACAGAAAGAUUCACAAGACCUUUUGUACCAACAGCCAUCAGACUUUACAAUUCUUGUGUAAAUAGUAGAUAGUGUAUAACUCUUAUGUAAAUAAUAGAUCAUUUUUAGAAACAUUUUAUGUGAGACAACAGACAAUUGAAUUUCCCUUUGGGGAUUGAUAAAGUUCUUCUUAUCCUAUCUUAUCUUGAAAAGUGAUAGGAAGUUUGUCUCUUUUUAGAGAACCGUAUCUUUUGGAUCGACUCACUUCAAUGAUCGGGCUCUUUUGGCUCCCAAGUGGCUCCUCAGAUUUUUUUGUCACUUUAAUUAAUUGAUUAUGACCAAUUACUUAAUAUUAUGUGCCAGAUGAAUUACACUGAACAAAAAUAUAAAUGCAACACUUUUGUUUUUGCUCCCAUUUUUCAUGAGCUGAACUCAAAGAUCUAAGACUUUUCUAUGUAAACAAAAGACCUAUUUCUCUCAAAUAUUGUUGACAAAUGUGUCUAAAUCUGAGUUAGUUAUCGCUUCUCCUUUGCUGAGAUAAUCCAUCCACCUCACAGGUUUGAUCUAUGAAGAUGCUGAUUAAAAAGGUUGAUUAUUGCACCUGUGUGUCUUAGACCGGCAACAAUAAAAGGCCACUCUCAAAGGUGUAGUUUUAUCACACAGCACAAUGCCACAGAUGUCACAAGUUUUGAGGGAGCGUGUGAUUGGCAUGCUGACUGCAGGAAUGUCCACCAGAGCUGUUGCCUGUGAAUUGAAUGUUUAUUUCUACACCAUGAGCCGUCUCCAAAGGCGUUUCAGAGAAUUUGGCAGUACAUCCAACCGGCCUCACAACCGCAGACCACAUGUAACCACACCAGCCUCUACAUCCAGCAUCUUCAUCUCCAAGAUCAUCUGAGACCAGUCACCCGGAGAGCUGCUGCAGUAGUUGGUUCGUAUGACCAAAAUAUUUCUGCACAAACUGUCAGACACCAUGUGGGCAAAUGCUCACAUUCAAUGGCGUCUGGCACUUUGGAGAGGUGUCCUCUUCAUUGAUGACUCUUGGUUUUCACUGUACAGGGCAGAUGGCAGACAGCGUGUUUGGCGUCAUGUGGGUGAGGGGUUUGUUGAUGUCAAUGUUAUGAAUGGAGAGGCCCAAUGGAGGAGUCAUAUGUUAUGGACACGAACACAGUUGCAUGUUAUUGAUGACAUUUUGAAUGUACAGAGAUACAGUGACAAGAUCCUGGGGCCCAUUGUUGUGCCAUUUAUCCGUGACCAUCACCUUAUAUUGGAGCAUGAUAAUGCAUGGCCCCAUGUUGCAAUGAUCUGUACACAGUUCCUUGAAGCUGAAAACAUCUCAGUUCUUGCAUGGCCAGCAUACUCACCGGACAUAUCACUCAUUGAGCAUGUUUGGGAUGCUCUGGAUCGGCUUGUACGACAGCGUGUUCCAGUUCCUGUCAAUAUCCAGCAGCUUUGCACAGCCAUUGAAGAGAAGUGGACCAACAUUCCACAGGCCACGAUCAACAACCUGAUCAAUGUGAAGGAGAUGUGUUGCACUGCGUGAGGCAAAUGGUGGUCACACCAGAUACUGACUGGUUUUCUAACACAUACACCCCACCCCAAUACAGUAAAACUGCACAUUAUAGAAUGGCCUUUUUUUGUGGCCAGUCUAAGGCACACCUAAUAACAAUAAUAAUAACAAUACAUUUCAUUUAUAUGUGCCUUUCAGGGCACUCAAGGACACCUUACAGAAGAAUUAAAAUGACACAUCAAUAAAUUGUACAGUCAAUAAAAUACAAAUCAACACAACAAAAGUUUUUAAUAAAAAAGAUGUAAGUCGUGAGUAAGUCUGGACUCUGCAACAGAACAUUAUCGUCUGAGUGGGCCUGUCUCAAAUAAUGUGUCCUCAGAUGGGAUUUGAAAAUGAACAGUGAGUCAGUGUUCCUAAUGACAGGGGGGAGGGAGUUCCAAAGGAGGAAGGCAGAGCAGCAGACCUGAGCGUCCCUGUGCAAGAGUUGAUGUGGAAGUGUUCAGAGAGGCAUGGAGGAGCAAGGUUGUUGAUGGCCUUGAAUGUGUGAAUUUGUGAAAACCUGUGCAAUAAUGAUUCAGUCUAAUCAGCAUCUUGAUAUGCCACACCUGUGAGUUGGAUGGAUUAUCUCAGCAAUGGAUAAGUGUUCAAUAACAGAUUUAGACUAAUUUGUCAACAAUAUUUGAGAGCAAUAGGUCUUUUGUGUACAUAGGAAAAGUCUUAUAUGUUUGAGUUUAGCUCAUGAAAAAUGGAAGCAAUAACAAAAGUGUUGCGUUUAUAUUUUGGUUCAGUGUAAUAAUGUUGAAGAACAUGCAUUAAUAUUUAUUAUAUUAAAGUUCCUUUAUUAAUUAACUUUAUAGUGCUGCAAAAAGUAAAUUAUAAGGAGCAAAAACAGACAACUAUUUACACUAAACUUUUAAAAUAAAAUAAAACAAUUUAAAAAAAAAGUGAAACAAUAAAGGAACUUAUAUCAGGCAACGUAGUUAAAAUUAAACUGUAUAAAACAAAAAGAAAAAAAAAUCUGCAUCCAGAUAAGUCCUACACUGGGCUCUAUUGUUAUGUGUUAAUGGUGGCAUGGCAUAAGUGCUCAAGCUCACUUUGGUAUUUUGGUGAGCAGCGCAGCCCAGUGUAAGUAUCUCCCCCUCCCUAACUCAGCUUCUCCCAAUUGCAUAAGUAGCAGAGAUGGAGGGGAUAAGGCGUGGAGUGGAUUUAACACAGCCAAGUCCUGUUUUACCAAUCACAUCAGGUCCCCUCCUCACUUUUAAAUCCGCCAAUGGCGAAGUGUAUUACAAUUUUUGUUAAGUAGUCAAAGAGAUCAAGAGGUGGCUGAAGACAGCAACGCCACACAAUGGCGACAGAAGGCAGCCCCUCAACAAGUUGUUUAUUUUAUGUCAUUUGUUUUAGUCCAUCAGGUUUUAUUCUUUCUUUUCACCAUUUUUAUCUCUGUUUUUAUCUCCAGUGUUUCCUAAAGGUAGCUUUUUCCUCAUGUAAUGUCUCAGUGUCAGGCCAUGUCUCUCUAACAAUAUGGGCUCUAUUUUCGUGUACGAUGGUGAGGCGGCGGAGGGUGGCGGACCCCACGCAGUUGUAUUUUCGUCUGGCGGAGCCCGGCGUACAGCCAGUUUGGUAUUUUCGUGGACUGAGGCGCACCAAGAUCCGCCAAGCUGGGCGUGGUGGCGUGGCAGGGGGAGGUGUCGACAGAAUCAGCGGGUGCAGUGACAUUUUCGUGCUCACCGGUGGCGUGUAAAGUGCGCUGAAAGCUUGCCGUUUCAAACCUGGUCAGCUUUCAGCGCAGGCGGAGCGCAGCUGGUCUAGUGGUAUUUUGGUAGACCUGCGGCGUAACGGCAUACGUCGCCGAUGCCUCACCGGCAGGUUUCCACAGUGUCAGGCACAUUUCAGUGCAACAACAACUAUUAAUCUGAGUCAGCACAUACAUUUAGAUCUAUAUAGGUAUAUUCUGAUCUAUAUCUGAUCUGAUGAGCGCAUUUGGCACACGUUUGGACACACAACCUGACUGAAUUAACACAGCUGAAACUGAAAAUUAAAUUCAAUAUCUAGUAAACAAACACACAUGAUGAAGUUAACAAGAUAUGUAAUUCGUCUCCCUCCUUUUCUUUCUUCCUCUUCCUCUUAUUUCUCACGCAGCUUGACCUGGACAUGUGUCUGUGUCCUCUCUCCGUCCUGCAGCAGCAGCGGCUGAACAGAUGAUUUGUUUCAGUGAUCAGAUGAAUUUACUUUAAGCCUACAUACGGAUAUUAUAAUAUUCAGUUUUGUGAGCCAAAUUUAUUUUUUAUGCCAACAUCUAUGAAAGAAAGAGCCAGGCCACAGAGCGUGAUGCGUCAUUACGCACAGAUGGUUCCAAUUUUAAUGCCGUUUUUGGAGUUUAUGUUGUGAUCUGUGCCCACCCUUGUCAUGUGAGGUUUGAAUAUAUGCAACUUUAUGUGAGUGUCUUUAUUUGUGGAAAAGGAUGUUUGUCUUCAUUUCAUUUCCUUUUUAUUUGUUAAAGAGGGACAGUGUACAUUAACGAACAUUUUAAAAAGAUAAAAUGUAAAUGGACCCAAUUGUAGCCACAAGGCUAGUUUCCAUUGGUAGUCCCCCUGCCAGAAGGAACAUGGCUACCUAAAAAGGUGGGAAAUCAGCAACUACAUAAAAACAUACAUAAUACACAAUAUUUAAAACAUCAACAUUACCCACUCGAAAGCACGCCAACCAACUAAUGGGAACAAGUUUGGUUUUCAAGUAACCACCUCUUCAAAUUUACUUUAAAUGCUCUGUAUGAAUUGGAUUCGCUUAUGUUUUGUGGUAUUGUGUUCCAAUCCUUGCCUGCCCUACAAGAAAAAACUGACUGACCAAAUACAGAUUUUCUAAGUGGGAUCUGGCAGUCUCCUCUGGCCGCCCCUCUAGUACCACUGGUUGCUGGAGAUCUAAACUGUAUGAGGUUGCAGAGUGGGGGCGGAGCUACCCUAUGACGGAUUUUAUAUGUAAGACAGCAAUUUUUGAAAAGGACAAGAUUGUUCCAGCUUAAUAACCUAUAUUUUUGAAGAAUUGUGCAAUGAUGAAAAGAUCUUGGUUUUUUAUCCAGAGUUUUGAGUGCUUGUUUGUAUAGUGAUAUUAAUGGGUUUAAAGUAGUGGGGUUUGCGGUGGACCAGGCGGGUAAACAAUAAUUAAUAUGGGACAUUAUAAGAGAAAACAUGUACAUUUUUGCCGCUUCUGUUGACAUAUGAUUUCUGAGGUGCCUGAAAUUUCCAAGUGUGACCUUAAGAAUUUUGCUUACUUUUUUAACAUGAUGUUUAAAAGUAAGAUUACUGUCUAACACGAUACCUAAAUAUUUAUAUUCAUUUACAAUUUGGAUUCUUUGUCCAGAAAUAAAAACAUCAGGCUCAGUAUGUGAUUUGUUUGUUUUGGAAAAAAACAUAGCAACAGUUUUGGAGGUGUUAAGUUGUAAAUGGCAACUGUUCAGCCAAUUUGAGACUUUCACCAUGACCAUGAUCUUACCAGUGGGUCCAACAUUACACACACCAAAUCCAUCUGUGCUCAUAUGAGACAGUGUGGAGGACGCCCAAUGCAGGGCUUACAGCAACACUUGUUGAGGAGCUGCCUUCUGUCGCCAUCGUGUGGCAUUGCUGUCUUCACACAUCUUUUGAUCUCUUUGACUACUUCACUGAAAUUGUAAUAUGCCUCGCCAGUGGCGGAUUUAAAGGCAAGUAGAGGAGCUUAUGUGAUUGGUGAAAACAGGUCUCGGCUGUGUUAAACCCACUCCACGCCCUCUCUCCUUCCUCGCUUCGACUUACGCUGCUGGGAGGAGCUGAGUUAGGGAGGGGGGAUACUUACGCCGGGCUGCGCCGCUCACCAAAAUACCAAAUUGUGCUUGGGAACGCCUUGUCAGAGACGUGCCGCAGGCGCGGCGUAAGUCAGGUCCGCCGCGCCUGUGGCACGUCUCCGGCGAGGCACGAAAAUAGAGCCCAUCAAGUUGCAUCUAUUUAAACCCCAUGUGACAAAGGUUGGUUGUGCGCACAAAUCACAACAUAAACAAAUUCCAAUAAUGGCAUUAAAAUUGGAACCACCUGUGUGUAAAGGACGCAUCACACUCUGUGGCCUGGUACUUUCUUUCAUAGAUCUUGGCAUAUAAAAUAAACUCACACAACUGAAUAUUAUAAUAUUUGUAUGUUGGCCUAUCUCCGGAUUAAAUAUUUAACAUAAUUUUAAGGAUGUGAGAACAUCAGAUAAACAGGUUGUUUUGAAUGAUAGAUUAUUUAUUUUUUAAGUAAAUAAUUCAUCUGAUCACUAAAAUAAAUCAGCUGCCAUAAUAACAGCCUUGCCCCCACAGCAGCAGCAGGACGGGAACAGGACACAAAAGAUGUGUCCGGGUUGAGCUGCACGAGGAAGAAGAGGAAGAGAGAAAGGGGACGGGGGACUGAUGAAGUAUCUCGUUAACUUCAUCAUGUGAGACUGUUUACUGGAUAUUUAAUUCAAUGCGGUUUCAGCUGUUAAUCCAGUCAGUUGGAGUAUAAAGCAUGUGCCAAAUGCACUGAUCAGAUAAGAUAUAGUACAUCAGAAUACAUCAUUAUACAUCUAAACGUAUGUUUUGACUUAGAUAGUUGCACUGAACACUGGUUGUUGUUGAUUAUUUAUUGCAUUAAAAUGUGCCCGACACUGUGGAAACAUGCCUGUGAGGCAUCGUUGACGUUUGCCUACUAUCUCACUAUCUCUCGUGUGUGACUGGAUAUUAAAUUCAAUGCUGUUUGAGCUGUGUCUACCAGAAUACCACUAGAUCAGCUGCGCUUUGCCUGCACUGAAAGCAUACCAGGUUUGAAUCGGCAACCUUUCAGUGCACUUUACCCACUGCCGGCAAGCAUGAAAAUGUCACUGCACCAGCUGAUUCUGUGGUCACCUCCCCUUACCCCACCACCAUGCCCAGCUUGGCAGUUUAUUCCUUUUUUUCAUUAUUAUGACACAUUUUACGAGCAAGAUCAUCUGUAUAGAGUCAACAGACUGCAGGUAUUUAUGUGCAUUUGGUAAAAUUUCAUUUGAGCUAUUUAAGUGCAGUGUGUACAGACACACAAAUAGCUGUUCAAGCUGACUAACAGCAGAUGCAGAUGUGAUCAGCUGAUGCCGUCAUCACAAAGAGACAUCACUUUAUGUGGCGCUGAGGAGAAUGUCUCAUGUCUCUCUCCCCUUUUCCUCACAUCAGAUGUCCCCCUGUGACAUGAGUGGAAAUAUGUUUUUUAAAGUUUUCCCAUGUAUACUAAAAAAGUCUUUGAGUUAACCUCAGAGGUUUAUCAAACCUCAGUGCCCUGGGGGCACCUGACUGGGUUCCUUAAACCUGGACCUCAGCAUUCAGCACGCUACUGUCACACAAAAUUACCAAAGAGAAAUUCUUGUAAAGGAGAGAACCGAGAGAUUCAGAGUGAAAAUUGAACACAUUUCACUCUGAAUCUCUCUGUCUAUCACUUCUCCUCUUGCUCUCUCUCCUUGAGUAACAUUUAAUGUGGCUGUCAUUGUUUUUGGACCAGUGGCGAUUGCUCUAAGACUGCAAGGGAAGCUCAGCUUCCCUUAAAAUGUCACCCCCCCAAAAAAAGAAAAAGUGGUGAAAUACGUACUGCUGUGUGUACAUUUCAUUAACUAAAUACGCGCUAGAAAGCCUUCAUCUUUUGUUCAGAAUUCUUAUCACACUGUGAUAAGAAGCUGAUAAUCACAGGUAACCGGCACAACUUCGUUCUCAUUCAUCCUCGCAGCGCCUCAGUGCUUUACACAGCCGGACGCUCAGCGUCUGCUGACUUCAAUGUGGAAGCUCAAAGUGGGUUGUUCCAGCAGCGAAACUAGACGCUCAUUGGAUAAAUGCUGGGCUUUGUCCCGCCCAUCGGACGCUCAGCGUCUCUGGAGUUCUAUGGCGAGAGGGCGGUCCCAACUUUCUCGCGGACGCUGAGCUUCUGCAUUGGAUGAGCUGUCUGAGGCCAAACCUUUUUUUGAUUGACAGCUAAACAAGCUGAUCUUGAAGAAUAAAACAUCUACCAGAGCAUUUUCCAAGUUAUUCAUUCCGUUGUUCUUAACUGCUCCGGAGGCUUUACCGAUCCUCAGCGACUUUUGUCUUUGUUAAAAACGACUGCUGUUGUGUUUGGCGACUCUGUUCUGUUACAUACAAAUAAACAAACACAAUUAUGAUGUAGGCCAGAAAAAUGAGCUUCCCCUCCUUGAAAAUCCAGCAGCCGCCACUGUUUUGGACUCAGCUGCUCAUUUCAAAUGAUGUGAAAUCAAAGAGGAGCGUCACAGCGGCUGACUAAUCACCAGCCCUGAUGCAUAUAUUUUGGCCAUCAUGUUUGGGAAUAGAGAGAUUACUGGAUUGAGAGCCGUAUGUUGUUCAGCAGCGACCUUGGAGAGACCUGAAACACAGCUCUCUCCACUAAAGUGGCUUCAGCGGUGUAUCAAGCCUUUCAGAAAGCUCCCAAAUGCAAUUACAGUGGGGGAUUAUGUCCUGCACUGCACACUGGGAUAAACUCAAAUUGGCCACAGUGUGUGUUUAAGUGUAUGUUUUUGUGCAUGUGGAAGUAGAAAGGCUUGUUACUGGCAGCUGAUCCUCCCUCAGGGCAUCUGUUUCAGCACUAAGCCCUGUAAACAGCACUUAAAUACACACACUAUGCCAACUAUGUUUUUGAGUCUGUUUGGAGUGUGCCAGAUUUUUAUUUUUAUUUUUUUUUAGUGUUUAUUAUCAUCCAGCUGUGUCCAGCACAGCUCACGUCAGCCUGUUGGUAAAAAACAUUAGUCUCUGUCUCAGGAUGGUCUUGAGAGUGGGGAAAUAAUGACAUAAAGCCAACACAGAGGGCAGCCUAAGGAGCGAAUGGUCACAGAAAAGUGGAGCAACAUCCUGUCCUGCAAUCCAUGCACCUGCAGUAGAUCUGGUCAGGGCAUCUUUAAGGCUAUGGUGUACCAUCCCUGUCAAAUGUGUGUAUGCAUAAUUUUGACAUUUUGUAUUCAUGUUUGAAAACUUUAUGCAUAAAUAAAUGCUUCAUACCCCCCAAAAAUAUGGUUUUAUAUAUAUGAGUCAGCAAAUACUGAGUGUUUUAUGUAAGUAUAAAUCUCAAAUCUACGACUUCAAGCAGUCACAAAAACAAAUUAAUUUCUCCGCAUACAAACUUGUAUAUUUGGGUACGAGGCACGAAGCAUUAAAUGACGUCAUCAGAGCCACAGGCAGCAGGUAAGGCGACUUAACCAAGGCCUUAUACCAUUGAUUGCACAUUCGCAAUGAUGGCUUACAACAGUAAUGCUGCACUCUGACUUGGUAUCGCAGGGAAAGGUAAACAACAUUUUUUAUCGACAUUCCAGUUUUAUUUCAAUAACUUCAUUAUAAUUUACAUUUUUAAACACAUACAAGUUAUAGCAUUAGCCCACUUGGUCGCAAGCUAAGGUUUUCUCAUGUGGAAAAUGAGCAAAGAAAUAUACAGUACAGGCCAAAAGUUUGGACACACCUUCUCAUUCAGUGUCUUUUCUUAAUUUUUUUUAUAUGACUAUUUACAUUGUAGAUUAUCACUGAAGGCAUCAAAACUAUGAAUGAACACGUGGAAUUUUGUGUGAAAAAAAGUGUGAAAUAACUGAAAACGUGUUAUAUUCUAGUUUCUUUAAAGUAGCCACCCUUUGCUCUUGAUGACAGAAGUACUUAGUAACUGAGUCUGUUAGUCACGAAGUAACCCUGACAUGGCACACCUGUGAAGUAAAAACCAUUUCAGGUGACUACUUCAUGAAGCUCAUUGAGAGAACAGCAAAAGAUUGCAGCGCUAUCAAAAAAGCAAAGGGUGGCUACUUUGAGGAAUCUAAAAUAUAAAACACGUUUUUAGUUAUUUCACAUUUUUUUCUUAAGCACACGAUUCCAUAUGUGUUCAUACAUAGUUUUGAUGCCCUCAGUGAGAAUCUACAGUUUAAAUAGUAAUGAGAAUAAAGAAAAUGCAUUGAAUGAGAAGGUGUGUCCAAACUUUUGGCCUGUACUGUAUGUCACCCUUAAAACUCCUGUGAGGAACUCUCAGUUUCUGUCAAUUUCGGUGCCCCCCACUGACAACACAGUUUUUGCAUAUCAUGUCCUCUACGUGCUUAUGUAGCAAUUAUUGAUUUAAAAAAAAAAAAAAUCUCAUCCUGCUGACUUGUGACGCACAAACGUGUCAUUCAUUGUUAACAUUUUAUGUGGAAUAAGCAAAUAGGGCUUUUUUUAUUAGCUCCACUGACACCUACCACCUUACACAUGUUUGGGACAUUAAAAAAUAUGGUCAAAAAACAUACAUUUUAUCCCUGAUGGUCUUGUUUGCUUUUGUAUGUCUUUAUAAGGCAUCAUUGUGAAUUUCAGUUAAUUUCAUAAGCAUAAAAAAAAGUUGUCAGAGGAGCCUUCAUAACAAACCCCAAUUCCAAUUAAAGAUAUAUUUCAGCAUAAAACAAGUAAAAUUAACAGUACAUAGGGUCCUAGCCAUAGUACUAGCCACCAAACAUCUUUUUAGCUUUGCCUGAUUUCUUUAGCAAAGAGACUAAACACAACUCACCUACUCUUUUCCAGCAGCCGUUUGUUCGUACGGAGACCUCUGGGCGAGUCUAUUGAUUGAAGCAGGGUGUCGCAGCUCAAGGAAGAACAUUUAUGAUCAUGACUUUAUCAUUUACUUAAAGUAGUAAUCCUCAUAUUGAUCAUUUUGCUCUGCAGACGUGAUAGUUCUUCUGCCUUAGUGUCUCAGUUUGAUUGCAUUUCCAUGAUAAAGUAAUGAUCAUAAAUGUUCCUCCUUGAGCUGCGUCCCCCCGCUGUAGUCGAUGGACUCCCCUUCAGGUCUCCGUACAAACAAGCGGCUGCUAGUUUUCCAUAGUCAUAAGGACAGAGAAAUAUUCAGAAGAAUCAAUUAAACAGUACAUGUCAUGACUAUUCUAUUAGACAGGAUUGGACAUAGUCACUCACAUAUUUAUUAAUGGCAAUUAAUAUGUCUGUUACUCUGUCACUCAGGAUGUUAGUGUUGUUUCUCAUAAGGUGUAAGGCUUAGAGACAUUGAGGGAAGCCUGGUCUCAAUAGACAAAUAACAGAUGUAAAAAAGACAAAGCUUUCAUCUCACUUACUUGAAUGUUACAGAGUUGUGAACCUGUCAGUGGCUGUGUUUGCAUUGACAGCAAUGCUUGAACUAUAGAAAGUUUAAAAGUUGCAUCUAGGUCAAAUACAUUAAAAUGUUUUCAAAGGAGAAGUUCAGUUAAAUUUUCUGAUCUAGCCAUAACAGUAGCUCAGCUUACCUGUGCAGGUAAACACAUUGAAUGUCUAUGUGUUUGUCUCUGUUCUUUUGUUUUUCUGUCUCUGCUGUCUCUCCAGCCUCAGCAGAUGUCUGUCUUUUCUGAGGCCUUGUAAUGUUGUUCUCCUAUUGUACAAAGCCCAUUAUUUCACACAGAAAGUUAAAUAUGACUGAUGAAAACUUCAACUCCAAGGUUAAAAUGGUACCAUGUAAAAUCAUUGUUCAGUUCUGUGUUUAGUCGUCUAUAAAGUACAUACAACAUUGAUUUGCAGUUUUACAGUAUGAAUUGUAUAAAUUACCAUUUAUGAGAUAUGUUAUCCCUUUGUUUCACAGAAAUCCUGUGACACAGCAGAUUACCUGAAAGAAAAAGAAAACCACCGCACAGCCUCUAUGCUCCCCUAACAAAAGACAUCCAAACCCCCAAUUUACCAGCAAACACAGACGACACAUCCGCAGGAAUAAUGAGGCAGAAAAAGGUGUGCGACUGUCACUUUAUGACUGUGUGUGUGUGUGUGUGUGUGUGUGUGUGUGUGUGUGUGUGUGUGUGUGUGUGCGUGCGUGCGUGCGUGUGCGUGCAGCAUCCCUGCUAUGAGCCUAAUUAAAAGGCACUGGGUGCAGAGGGGGCCGCUUUAGCACCCAACCGAGUCCCUUUAUACCCCUGCUUCCCUGCCUCUCUAUCCCUGUCCUUUGAUUACCACUGAGCACUAAUGCCCCUCGACCGCUGCCGCAUAUGUGACCCUCUGAGGCUGAACGAGGAGGAAGACAGAAAUCCUCUUUCUCCUCCCGAUUUACUGUGACUGCUGAGAAGGGAAACCCUUCUUUUAUUAAAUGUUUGUCAAGUUAAAGUGAAAAGACUGAUUUUACAAAAGAUUCCAGGAAAGAAACACUAAGGAAUUUGACAUAAACAUAUCAGGAGUCUUUAACUCAGGCAUUUUGAUAUUUUCCCAAAAGGUUGUCAAGGUGACUUAGUUUUUACCCUACUAAUACCUUCACACAUGAACUUUUAUUGGGUUAGUUUUGAGGAUAAGUGAAAAUUGAAACUUUUCUUGGUUAAUGUCUACAAUUUUGCAUCACAUCCCAACAAUUUUUCAAGGAAUGUGUACUUCAUUCUUGCUUAAACUGUCAUUGAAAAUUCCUGAUUCCCUUUGACAGACCACCUCAUUUUGUCAGCAGACCUGGACAGAUCUGGACAUUUCUCUUCCCAAAUCUGGGGAGUUUAAAACCUGUGAAUUCGGGUCUGCCAAUAAAACCAUCACAGCUCUGUAGUUGGAAGCAUCAAUUUUGUGUCUCAGCUCAUUAGACGAUUGACAGGAUCAAUACUGUUGAAACUCAGCUUACCAUCUGCUUGAUCGCCUCUAUCUGCUGACAUUUGGUCAGUGACCUUUGACCUUGCUGGGAAAUGUCACAACACCAAAAGCAACCCUGAAAACCAGGGGUGCAAACACUCAUAUGAUCAGGAAAGUCUAAAAACAACCAUCUUCGAAUGACUCUCAUCUGUAAGAAAUUUUUCCUCUGACUUUGACGAUGAAAAAGACUGUUCUCUAAAGCAUUAUUCACAUGGGAUCACAUGGGACCUCUGUUCUUGUGUGUUGCCCUGAUGUCUGAAAUCUGAGAAUUACCUGCAUUUACUGACAUUUAUGAUCUAAAACACUGAAAUGCUGCUCAAGAUUCACCUUAACCCUGGGGGCAGUAUCACACCCUGCAGAGAACCCCCUAGCUGAGAUUCAUAAAAAAAAUUACAUUUCCACAUCAGAUCAAUCACCACAAGGACAGUGCAUUAAAAACAUGUCAAAGAAAUUUAUAUUCAAAUUUAUUGGCUGCCAGUUUGCACUGAGACUUUGGGCCUGAUCUACUAAGAUCCAAAAUAGCAAGCGCUAAAUUGCGCAAACUGAAAAAUGAGAGCGCUGAGUGUUUGAAACCAUGGAGUUGCACAUAUCCUUUUGGGGAACUGCAUAAAAGGUAAGGUAAGUUUAUUUGUACAGCACUGUUCAUACACAGAGAACUCCAAGUGCUUUACAGAUGCAAGAAGAUAGAAAUCAAAAAAGGGAUUAAAACAAUUUAAAAUCAAAAAGACAAACAGAUAAAUUUUUUCGUCUGUUUCGUGUUUGACCUUUUUAUUUAUGAAAAUCAUCAUUUACUGGAAAAACAAAAUAAAUCACAAGCUUUUGGACAAGGAUCAUUUCAUUUAUUCUUUAUUCCAUUCUUUUAAAAAUAAAAAGAAACAAUUAAAUUUAAAUACAAACGUUCUCCUAUCUGGAAUGAAAGGGAGCAGAGAGAAGACUAAUCUUACUUUAUCUGCCCCUUUAUCCCCAGAAAUCAAUUUACAAAGAACAAACUUAUAAUAAUAAUAAUAAUAAUAAUAAUAAUAAUAAUAAUAAUAAAAAGCAACAACAGCAUAAACAAAACACAACAAAAAAAUAUAUAAUGAAAUAAAAAUAUAGCUGCUGGCCACCACAGACAGUCAUUUACAUCCCAAGUUACAAUUCAGUUAAUGCCAUACAAACAACAACAAAAUUACAAUGGUAUGACAAUCAGAUAUAACUAACAUAUUUCCUUAUAUUUCCUUAAUAUACUGGCUUUUAUUUUUCUUUAAAAUGUAAUUUUUGACUUGGAUUCUUUGAUGUCUUUGUUCAGAUUGUUCCAUAAACUGAUUCCUUUUACAGAAAUACAAUGUUCCAUCAAUUUAGUUGGCAGAAAUCGUUUAUAUCCGACAUCUUCUGCAGAUAUGAACGAUUUCUGCCGACUUUGCAAAGUCAACUGCAGAAUUAACAGCGUUCUGAAUGAACAGGUUUGAUAGAUCACAGUGCAGGUGCUAAAUGAUUCCAUUUGCAUCCGCUCCUCCCAGAAUUUUGCACUGAUGAUCUACAUACAUUAUGCAUAUUCAUGAAGGCAAAGACGCUAAAUCGAUUGCGCACUGUUUUGCUCAUUUGACAGACGCAAUCCUCAGUGCACCCGGUUAGUUGAUCAGGUUUUUGUGUGCUAUCAGGUUUGCACGUGUUUUUGCACACACAAACCUUUAGUAGAUCAAGCCCUUGGUUGUUGGUUUCCCCAUCUGUUACAGCAGUGGGGAUACUGGUUUGAAGGUGUCUGCACAGGUAAUUUAGUGCUUUCAAGCAAAAUUAAGUAGUAAAAGAGUCCGCUGGCCCACCUAAGCUGAAGCCCCUUUAAGCUUAAAAUAAGAAUCAUUUUAGAUGAAAAUUCUUUUCCUCAAGAUAAAAUCCUGGACUCUUUCAGCUUAUAUUCAACUGCAAUUUUAUUUGAAAGCCCUGGACCAUUUCGGCAGAAUUUUUUUUUUUACCCGUUUCAGCUUUAAGUCCUGGCUGUUUAGCUAAUAGCUGUGGCCCAUUUAGCCUCAAAUCAUAGUUCCUUUAUUGCUGAUAGUACUGACCCAUUUUGAUUGAAAGUUUAGCUGAGAAUAGCCCAAACCAGCUCACUGCUCCUUCCUCUUUAACCCCAAUUGGCUAAUCAAACUUACAGAAACAAGUUGAAGCAAAUCUGCAAGAUCAGUAAUUGUUACAGGCUUUAAAAUUUUAGAGUGCUACAGUAUAAUGCUGUAUACUCUUAUUUGGCCCAUUUUACCUGAUGUUUGCAUCUUCCUUUAAGUACAGAUCUCUGUUGAGGGUUUUUUUUUGGAAAGUUUUACUAAGUCUUUAAUUGAUUAUGUGAUGAUGCUUCUCUGUGAUUUGUGUUUUGAAUGUCUAUGUUUUACGGUUCUAACUGGCAUUACCAUGAGUGAGUGAGUGAAUGACUGACUGACUGACUGACUGACUGACUGACUGACUGACUGACUGACUGACUGAAUGAAUGUAUGAAUGAAUGAAUGAAUAAAUGAAUGAAUGAAUGAAUGAAGUGUAUAAAGCAGUCAAAUCCGAAUGAUCAAACUCUGGUCUGAGUCAGGCUGGUCUCUUAAAAGCUGAAGGGAGGAGUGAAGGACAUCAUUGAUAGAUAAAGGUCAAACUUAUUCACUUUAAUCCUUUGAUUUUUUUUUAUCAUUUGAGUCAUAUUAAAGUUGAAAUUUGGUUUAAACACACAUGAUAUUAGCUUAAUAUUUCUGACUGAGUGCUGUUUUUGAUGUCAUGUGGGUGACCUUUGUGAAACAUGAAUUUUAAGGUAUGAUAACCUUUAAUUAUCCAGCAGCAGAGGCAUUAGCAUCAUUCAAGGCCAUGUGGGUGACUCAGUGAUCGAAGCCUGUCUAAACACAGAGGCAGCAGGUAGUGCAAACUAAGUUUCUGAGCUGUUUUAGCUCUCUGAUUUACAGAUUUACUGACAUUUUUUUAUCAAUCUGAGAUUUUCACAUCCCUCAUCUGUACUCUGACCAUGUACACAAGAUCUUAGUAUGAAAGUGUUACCUUAAAGUGUCCAUCAACACAUCUUAACCCAGGACUAUAUACAUUGUGACAACAAUUGAUGACUGAUAAUCAUGAUGAUGAUUUUCCUGAGUAAAAGCGGUUGUUAUUCUCUGACAUUCUCAGAAAAUCACAUCAUCCUUAAACUCUGUGAAAUAUCCUCAGAAAGCCUCACACACUGAAUGUUUCUGUAACAUGGAAUAAAUAAUCUAUCUGUUGGUGGGAAAUAACUCCUACACACAAUUUUGAUAAAUCAUUUGAGGUUGUUAAAAGACAGAAAACUGUUUAACAAUGGAGUUAAUUUUCAAUAUUUUUAGUGUUUUAAAUACUUUAACACUUAAACACCAAAUCAAAAAUGCAAUAAAAAGUCAGCGUGGGCCUUUCAGAAGGCUGAUAUGCUCCUGUGCCUCCAUUAUCAAAACUAACUCAUAAAACACAGGUGACAUCUUAGUGACCCAUUGGUUUCUGAAGCAGCAUUUGAAAUCCAUGUGGUCACCAUAUUGGAAAUGCUGACUUAUCCUAACUCUUGGACAGAAGUGGAGUUGUGGGGGAGCCUCCUUCUUAACAGCUACAGGGUGCCUACAUGUCAGUCAAGUCAGCUCUGCCUCUAAUUAUGCAAAACACAUUUAUUUCUGCUUGAUAGAAGGGCUUUACUGAAUGCGUAUGUGGCUUCCAAGCUUUGGCAACCUGCUUCAAGAAGACAACCAAUGAACUGCAGUUCUGAGCACUUAAGUAAUGGUUUUCAAUCGUUUAAAUCUCUUUUUCAUUUCAAAUGUAUUUUCUUGCAUCUGUAAAGCACUUUGAAUUGCCUUGUAUAUGAGGGAGUGAGAGAGAUUAACAGAGGAGUGACAUGAGCUGUCUUGGACUGGUUGAAGACCAGACUUCCUGCUGUGUUCUGGAUCAUUUGCAGAAGUUUAACAUCGCAUGUAGGGAGGCCUGUACCAGGAGCUGUGUUGAAUGCUCUGGCAGGUAUGGUCUGAUCCUCUUGAUGUGAUAGAGGGCAAAUCAGCAGGACCGAGCAAUCAAGGCUGUAUGAAUCUGAAAGGUUAGCUGGUCAUAAAUCAUGACACCUACAUUUUAAGCUGACUUAGUAGGCAUUUAACUGGCCUACGCAUUCUGAGCAUGCUCCAGAGUUUACAUUGCUGGGCUUAGAGGUAGAACAGCAAAAACACUGAGCAAGGAAGCUGGGUAGUAAACAAAACCUUGACAAAUGAAUAGAGGACAGUAAAAAGACCAAGCUGUCAUAGUUAAAAUAUAUAAAGCUCAGAAAGUGACUGUGUUUUCAUGUUUGAUUAACAUCCUACAUGGCGUAGUAGGUCAACCAGGAGACCGCCCAAAAGUUAUGAGCAGAAAAAUGACAUAUUACCACUGACUGUGGCGGAGGCAGACAUGCUUCUAUCGAUAAAUCAAUUCCCUCCAGAUGUAAGGACAGUAGAGAAUCCAUUUACAUUUCCUGGAACAAAGAGAGUAGUUCAAAUAAAUUACUGUGCAUGUUAACAUACUGAUGGGCUCAAAAUCAUUCCAAAAAAGAACAUAAUCUGUGAACACAGAUCAUCACUUCAUCUAUAAAUUCAGGUGAAAACGUUUUCAUGCAAAGUUGGAACCAUAAAUACUGCAUGUGGUUCUCUGUCCUCUCUGGGUCUGAGUCUAUUAAGGAUUGACUGAAGAGGAGAGAGGCCACCUGGCUUGUUGUCUGUGCACAGAUCAUAAGGCAGUUUCCAUGGAAUGGGAACAUUAAUGCUAAACAGUACAGGUUUUGGCGCAACAUAUGCUGCCACAUGGAGAAUGACUCUUUCAGAGAGAACCAAAAAGAUGUCAAUUUUACACUACUGCAUGGCUCUGUAGUAGAAGGGUCCAGGCUUUAGUCCUGAUAUAUAACCCAUCACAAUCCUUACAAAGAAAAUAGGACAUCAGAGACCCCCGAAAGAGCAGCUGACACCUUAUAUCAAACAAGAUUUUACUUCCCAAACUCCAGAAACUGGUUAGUUUGUAAAUCUUUUUGACAACAGGUUUAAUCUGGUUUGGUUUUCCUUACAACUAUUCUAAUCGAAGUUGUUUGUGUAUUCCCAGUUUUAUUAAGUAAAUGAUGGAAACAGUGCCAUUGUUUCUUGUAUCGUCCAGCAGGCAGUUAUCAGUACGGAGGCCUCAGUGGCUGGGUCAGCUGCAGAGGCUAAUGCUGUAUUGAGCUGUGGACAGACUGAGGGUCAGGAGGCCUGAGAGGUGCAGCUGCUUCACACCUGGGGCCCAGGGGGGAGGAGGUGGUGAAGGUUGGUAAGUGAUCUCAGGACUCCCCUCCAUCACGAGGAGACAGAGGCAUCCCUCAGUAAAUCCAUCUUUCUAACAACAGUGACCAUUAUCAGCCCCUCAUUUAUUCAUUCAUGUCAGCAGCUGCUUUUGUCUCCACUGACGCUUGACAUUUGGGGAGCUGCAGACCAACACAGUCUAUCUCUUUCUCUCUCACUGCAGGAAACUUUGACAGGGAUGUCUGAUUUAAAUGUGCAUAAAGCUCUGUUUAGGUGAAGCUGGUUUCCAUCACUAUAACAUCUCAGAAAAGUUGUGCAGCAAUAAAAGUCGGACAACUUAAAACAAAGGCCCCCAUUUAAAUAGCGAUUUAUGAAUUUCAUUAAUAAUGACAUUGCAAACUACAUCAUCACAGACCAGUUAUUUGCUCCUGGUGUUAAUAUUCAUGAUAUUUUAAUGAGCUGAGAAAUGCCUCUAAUUCAGAAAGCUGUCUGGUAUUUAGAUCUAAUUGGGUAAUGCUGAAAAGCUCCUGACCACUUUAUGGCUGCAUAAAAACGUCCAACUGUUUAUAUACUCGUUGAAUUUUAUUUUUACGUCUUCAUUGUGAGGCACUGUAGACCUGUGUGAACUGUAUGAUCUUUUUAGCAUGCUCAUCAUGUUACAGACCCAAAACAGGCUUAAUUUAGGUGAAAAGUGACCCAGCGGUCCAACACGACAUACACAGAACAGACUCAGAGAGGACUGAUUUACUGUAGCACUUACUGUAAGUCCGUGUUGUAUUCAAACUUCAAACUGAAUCGGAAUCAUCUGUCUCUGCAUAGCAGGGUCGACUUAAACAUUUUUGCGGACUUGGUCACUUAACCUGUUAAACUGUUUCACAAUUUAGGUGAAAAUUUCUCCAAAUAAGGUUUUAUCCCAGGUAAUGCUGUGAUAUAUUUUAAAAAAUAUGAGCUUAGACCUUAAAAGAGUGGAGUAACUUUAACAAAAGCCUGUAAAAGCCAGGUCUCUCCAUUGACAUGAACAACAAAAACAAACAUUAAAAUGAAGAUGAAAAAAAAAAAACAGCAAUUUGUGUUAAAUAAAGACCCAGACCUCAAUGACUUCAUGGAUCAGAGUGGACCUCGGUAAGGUCUUGGAUUUUAGCCCCUUUUUGGGCCAAAUGAAACCUUGCACAUACAGUAAGCUACCACCGUUAUGUUGUGCCUUAACCAACGUCAAUGCCUGACAUUGCACCUCAUAUUUUUGUCUGCUUUCCGUUUUUCCUCAUAUCACAGUUUAAAUCACCUUUCCUGUCACAACAUGACUACAGACCAGUGGCCCUCACUUCACAUAUCAUAAAAAAAAAACCCUGGAGUGGUUACUGAGCAGUGUUGAUGCUCAUUUCCAACCACUGUCCAGACCUUUUCUGUAGGAAUAGCUUUUGCUGGACCUCGAGGAUUUUUCUUUUCAAAUUCCCUUUCAACAGCCGAUUAAGGCCACCCCCUCUUCCUCACUAAUAGGUCCUUGCUUUGCAUCCAGAGUGCCUGUGCAAUAGAUGUUCCGAAAGUUAGCAAAUCCCUCUGAAAAGAAGAACCAAUGGCAGAACCGAUUUAUUUGUUUGUUUUUCUAUUUGCCAGACAAUGCCACCCUGGGAAUUUCACACAGAAAAUUCUUCCUUUUUUUUUUCUUCCUAACAAAAAUAAUAAUAAAAAUAGUAGAGCAAAAUAAUAAAGCAACACAAGCAAAACACACACACACACACACACACACACACACACACACACAAAAUACACUAACCAAGAUGCAGUUAACAUAAAUUAACUGUUCAAAUAAAACAAUCAAAUUAUAUUAAAACAAACGAAAACUACCUACCCCCCCCCCCCCCCCAAAAAAAAAAAAAAAAAAAAAAAAAAACACAAACUACCCAAAACCAAAUUAGGAAGCCAAAGGAGUAAGAAAUUGACAAAAUCCAAAUAAUCAACCAAAAAAAUAAACCUAUACACAAUAACCCUAAACAAAAAGAAGGCCAACCUAAACAAAUUACAAAUAUACAAAGACACCUAAGUAAAACAAUGAAGGCAUACCUGUUGCAGCCAAGCACCUACUGUAGCAGCAGCACAGGAGCGCAAAGAGAGACAAGCAGGGAGGAGUCACAGCUUAUACUCUCUCCUUCUGUUUGGUGGUUGGACACCUGCGGCGCUCAAUUACUACAGCAGCUCACCGCACAGAUAAAAAAAAAUAUAUAUAUAUAUAUAUUAUUUCUAUGCUGCCACAUGUGGAUGAAGUAAUAUGCUAUUAGUGCACCAAGAGCAUCAACGACGCCCAUGAACUUGUUGUACAAACAGAUGAUGUUUGGGAAUUCCACUGAGACUUUCUGUUUUAACUUCCUAUCCCACCUGUUGGAAACAGGCUGGGCACUGGCAAAAGUUCUGGCAAUGAUCACCCCUCUGUUGUCAAACCAUUCAACUGCUCUCAUCUCCACACUGUCUACAACAGCCUGUUGUUCUUCAAAUGUCAAAUGUCCAUCUUCCAUUCUGCUUGCUUCUCUAGUUAUACCAACUUUAGUAAUGACCGCACGAUAGCAAUGCACGGCAACUUCAAGAGCCACACGCUCAUCCAAAAUGCCACUCUAUAGCCGCAAAUAAUACUCAGAGCAGCACCUAACUUCAUCAACAGGACAUAUAGGGUCCCAGCCAUAGCACUAGCUACCAAACAUCUUUUUAGCUUUGCCUGAUUUCUUUAGCAAAGAGACUAAACACAACUUACCCUCUCUCUUCCAGCAGCCGCUUGUUUGUACAGAGACCUUGUGCGAGUCUAUCAUGACUGCAGCGGGGUGAUGCAGCUCAAGGAAGAACAUUUAUGAUCAUUUUUUCAUGGAAAUGCAAUCAGACCGAGAGGCUAAGGCAGAAGAACUACCAUGUCUGCAGUGCAAAUUGAUUAAUAUGGGGAUUAUGACUUUAAGGAAAUGAUUAAAUAAAAUUGUAUUGUAUUAAAUGUAGGUUUUCAUUUCAGGUAAUACUAUUUGUGAGAUAUACACAUUUCUUCCAUUUUGUAUUAAUAUCAUUACAUUGUAGGUCUUUGUUCCAUUUGUCAUACUAGUGAUGGGAAGAACAUUUCUUUUGACUGUACUGAAUCUUUAGAAUCCGUUCAUUAAAAGGAUUCGUUCAAAAGAUUUGUUUACCAAAUCAGUCAGUGCUCUGGAGCUCCGUCCUGCCGGUGCAGUCCAGGAGUGAGUGGCACAGUGGCGCCGAUCAUGAACUUGUUCAUUGAACGAGCCCCUCCCCUCCCCUGCUGCUGAAGUCACAGCAUCGUUCACUGGGUGACACAUGUCAUUCGCUGUGAGUAAAUCACAAGACUUCACCCGCCCACCCCCUCACUGGCUGGCUCUGUGUCGUUCACCAAAGAGUCAAUGGUGGCAGUGAUACUCCCAACCGGCACUCCAGGCUUGUGGCUGAACUAAGAAAGGAACAAAUCAGGUCUCGGAGUGAUUCCAUUCACGUCGUCCACUCAGCAGUUCCGUUCUUUUGAACGGAAAGUUCAUGAGCGACACAACAGCCAGUAGUGGGUGAUCUGGAAAGGGCUGAUGAGCUCAACUUGUUCUUCAACAGAUAUGACACUGCUGUCACACCCACUUCCACUGCUACUACACCUUCCUCUCCACAACAAAUCUCCACUACAACUUUUCCUAUUCCUCCUCCAUCUCGUUCAAAUGUCUCAACCACUUCCACUACCUCCCUCCUAGCACACCAGUCCUUGUCUGUCACUGAAACAGGGGUGAGGGUGGAGCUUGGAAGACUUUGUCCUGGGAAGGCAGCAGGUCCAGAUGGUGUGUGUCCAAGGCUGCUUAGAGACUGUGCUGCAGAACUGUGUCAACCUCUCUGCAGGAUCUUUAACCUGAGUCUACAGCUGGGGCAAGUACCUACUCUGUGGAAAACAUCCUGCAUUGUGUCAGUACCAAAAACAAAAUGUCCUGCCGAACUCAAUGACUACAGACCAGUGGCCCUCACUUCACACAUCAUGAAAACCCUGGAGGGGCUGAUGCUACGUCUUCUGAGGUCUGAGGUCAAAGACAAACUGGAUUCCCUUCAGUUUGCACACUAAGAACACAUUGGAGUGGAUGAUGCUGUCCUCUACAUGCUUCACUGUGCCCUGUCUCAUCUGGAGGAACUUGGGGUUUAUGUGAGGAUCAUGUUCUUCAACUAUUCAAGUGCAUUCAACACCAUCCAAUCCACCAUACUAAAAGACAGGCUCAACAGAGAUGGGAGUGGAUGUCAGGCUGGGGGACUGUGUUUCUGGGACAUUAAUGAGCAGUACAGGGGCUCCACAAGCGACAGUGCUGGUGCCAUUCCUGUUCACACUGUACACAUCAGACUUCAAAUACAGCACUGAGUUCUGCCACAUCCAGAAAUACUCAGAUGACAUCGCUAUUGUGGCAUUUAUCAGAAAUGAACAAGAAGCUGAAUACAGAGAUCUGAUAAGAGCCUUCAGCGACUGGAGUCACCACAAAGACAAAGGAGAUGGUCAUAGACUUUCGUAGAUCCAAACCCCCUCUUCAGCCAGUGAACACCUGUAGAGUAGACAUAGAAGUGGUGACAUCAUAUAAAUACCUAGGUGUACGCCUGGAUAAUAAUUUGGAUUGGUCUAAGAACAUAGGGCUCUAUUUUCGCAACUCACCGGAAACGUGCCGGAGACGUGCCACAGGCGCGGCGUAAGUCAGGUCCGCUGCGCCGACAAGGCGUUCCCAAGCACAAUUUGGUAUUUUGGUGAGAGGCGCAGCCCGGCGUAAGUAUCCCCCCUCCCUAACUCAGCUCCUCCCAGCGGCGUAAGUCGUUGCAAGGGAGGAAAGAGGGCGUGGAGUGGGUUAACACAGGCGAGACCAGUUUUCACCAAUCACAUAAGCUCCUCUCCUUGCCUUUAAAUCCGCCACCGGCGAGGCAUAUUACUAUUUUCGUGAAUUAGUCAGAGAGAUCAAGAGAUGUCUGAAGACAGUAAUGCCACAAGAUGGCGACAGAAGACAGCCCCUCAACAAGUGUCACUGUAAGCGCUGCAUUGGGCGUCCGCCACACUCUCUCAUAUGAGCACAGACGGAUUUGGUGUGUGUAAUGUUGGACCCACUGGUAAGACAAACACCCUUUUCCACAAAUAAAGACACUCACAUAAAGUUGCAUAUAUUCAAACCUCACGUGACAAAGGUGGGCUGUGCGCACAGAUCACAACAUAAAUUCCAAUAAUGGCAUUAAAAUCCAUCUGUGAGUAAAUGACACAUCGUGCUCCGUGGCCUGGCUCUUUCUUUCAUAGAUGUUGGCAUAUAAAAUAAAUGUGCCUCACAAAACUGAAUAUUAUAAUAUCCGUAUGUUGGCUUAAAGUCGAUAACUCAUCUGGGGCCUCAUGUAUCAACACUUGCGUGGGACUCAUACCAGAAACGAGCGCACGCAAGGUCCGUCACGCUGAAAAAAAUCUGUAUGUAUCAAGGUGUGCGGGUGCCGAAAGCCACGUGUGUUUCCUUGAUAAAUCCCAAUCAGCUUGGAAUUGAGCGCAGAUUUCGGAGUGACCGGGCCCGCCCCCGUUACGCCCUGCUAUAAAUAUGCAGAUUUAUUUAAAUAGGGUCUCCCUGUCCUCGCACGCAGACAAAAUGACAAGAAAAACUAAAUUUACGGCGUGCGAUGUGGAGGUGCUGGUGGCGGAGGUGGAGGAGCGUCAGCGUGUUUUGUUUGGCAGCCUGUCCAGUGGCGUCAGUGCAAAACGAAAACGCUUGGAGUGGGAGAAAGUUUGCGAGAGGAUGAACGCGGUGGGUUCCGAGACACGCACCCCCACGGAGAUUAAAAAAAGGUGGUAGGACCUCAAGGUGGAGAUCAAGCGGUGUACAGCUGCCCUCCGGAGGACUACCGGCCAGAGAGGUGGGGUUCCGGGGGAGGAGACCCUCACGCCGUUUGAGCAGCGGGUGGUGGCGAUUAUUAUUACAGGGUUAGUGGCGUGUCACACAAAUGUCCACAUGCUUUGCCAUCCCACUGAACAAAAGACGUAUAUUAGACGUCUAGUCUAAGUUUAUACUUCAUUUCAACGUCGGGAUUCAGUCUAUUUUUAGACGUGAUUUAUACUUCGCCCUUAACUUCAUUUUUCGAUAACUUUUUAUGCAAUAAACAACUGUAAUGUGCAUAACUGACCUCUAAAUACUGGAUUACAUUACCUAUGAUACCGUGGAGAGAGAUGUAAACGCUACAGAUACACAGAAGCAGGAAUUGAAAUGAAGCAAUAUUUUUAUUGUGUCACAGAAAUCAAUGUGUCGGCCGUGUCGCCGGCUUGCGGAACCCCAGCCCGCAGCAGCCCGUCCGCCGGCUCGCAGUCGUCGGCCAGGACCAGCGGCAUUUGGGCCACCCUGGCCCCCAGCACCAGCAUCAGCACCAGCCCGCUGACAAGCGGUGGAGCGUCCACCAGCCACGGCGCUUCCGCUGGCCCACCCGGACGCAGUGGAAGGGUCCUCACGGAGGCGGUCCUGCAAUCGCAGGAAGAAAUCAUCAGGGGGAUCGCGGGGAUCAACGAGCGGCUGGACCGGCUCGUAAAUGUCCUCGAGCGUCUGGUGGCAAAAAUAAAUUAAUUUGGCUCAUUGAACUGUGUAUUCACUUCUUACCCAUUCACACUGUGGCGAUGAGAUUCUCCCGCGCGAGGACGGCGGCCCGGCAGGGAUCAGCUCGCAUCCCUCCGUCUGCUGCUGGUUCGUCAUGUGGGGCGACGUGCUGCUCGGCCACGGGGAUGUGGUGCACGCUUGUCACAUAGUGAGUCACCAAACACCGCCACACAGCGUUGCCAAAGUGCUGUCAACGCAAGUAUCUGCUCAACGCCAACUUCUACACCACCUCCUCACUUUGCGUUGAUUAGCGCUGGAACCGACGCUUGUGUCGCGAUGAUAAAUCAGGACGUGUGUGCUGAUCUUGGCGGACACAAGGUUUUCUGGCGCCGCCAGCGUUGAUACAUGAGGCCCCUGAUCACUGAAACAAAUCAUCUGUUAAGCUGCUGCUGCAGCAGGACGGAGAGAGGACACGAAGACGUGUCCAGGUCGAGCUGCACGAGAAAUAAGAGGAAGAAAGAAAAGGAGGGAGACGAAUCACAUAUCUUGUUAACUUCAUCAUGUGUGUUUAUUUACUAGAUAUUUAAUUUAAUUUAAUGCGGUUUUAGCUGUGAUGAUUCGGUCAGGUUGUGUGUCCAAACGCGUGCCAAACGCGCUCAUCAGAUCAGAUAUAGAUCAGAAUAUAUCGAUUUAGAUCUAAAUGUAUGUGCUAACUCAGAUCAUUAGAUGUUGAUGAUUAUGAUUGUUUAUUGCACUGAAAUGUGUCAGACACUGUGGAAACCUGCCGGUGAGGCAUCGGUGACGUAUGCCGAUACGCCGCCGGUCUACCAAAAUACUACUGGACCAGCUGCACUCCGCCUGCGCUGAAAGCUGACCAGGUUUGAAUCGGCGGGCUUUCAGCGCACUUUACACGCCAGUGGCGAGCACGAAAAUGUCACUGCGCCCGCUGAUUCUGUCGACACCUCCCCCUGCCACACCACCACGCCCAGCUUGGCGGAUCUCGGUUCACCUCCGUGCGCCUUAGUCCACGAAAAUACCAAACUGGCUGUACGCCGGGCUGCGCCAGACGAAAAUACAACUGCGCGGGGCUCGCCGCCCUCCUCCGCCUUACGGGCGUACACGAAAAUAGAGCCCAUAGACUUCAUCUACAGAACGAGGCAGAGCCGCCUCUUUUGCCUGAAAAGACUUCGAUCAAUAGACAUCUGUACUAAGAUGCUGCAGAUGUUUUAUCAAGUGUUCUGUUCUACACUGCAGUCUGCUGGGGAGGAAGCAUCAAACACAAAGAUGCAAGACGUCUUAGCAAACUGGUGAAAAAGGCUGGCUCUGUGGUUGGACUCAAGCUGGACUCAUUGGAGGAUGUAGUGGAGAGAUCUACACUGAGGAAGGUAGAGACUAUUCUAAAGAACAUGGAUCACCCACUUCACAACAGCUUGAUGGACCAAAGGGCCAAUGGUGGUGGACGGCUCCUCUCUCUUCGCUGCAGGACAGAAAGAUUCAGAAGAUCUUUUGUAACAACAGCCAUCAGAAUUUAUACCUCUUGUAGUAGGCUCAGACUGGCAAUAGGGAGAGGCAGGACUUUUCCCGGUGGCCUGCCUCCUUAUUGGCCUGCCUGGCCUGGCCGCACUGGCAGGCCAAUGAAAAAAAGCUGGUCUGCUGUUUCCAGGCAGACAGGCCAGGGACAGCAAUGCUGCCUGCAGAGUACACGCCCCCCUUCUGCCACUCACACAAAGCACGCGCUCUGAGCACUGGGAUCAGAGGGGUUGGGAUUUGUCAAAAUGUCGUGAUUGGUCAGUUGCUUUUUGGCCCGCCCCUUCGCAGUGUAAACAGGAAAACAAACACAGAGCACCGAGACGGGUUUAUUCGAGAGCGAGGCAAGAGUCUGGCCCAAAAAACUUCACAGGUGUCAGGUGGGUUGCAAGAAGCCCUAAAACGUUUGAGACCCCCUCUUCAGGUAAGAUGGGCUGUUGACUUACAAUUUUCAGUUUUACAGUGAAUAUUGAUGUUAGCAUGUACUAUUAGCUAUGACCAGCAGACAUCUAAAUGAUUUGCAGACAAAAUAAUACCAACAUUUUGUUUAUUUCCAUAUAUUAUGUAAAUAAAAGGACAAAAGGAAACAUUUGGUGAGGGUAGUGAAGAGAUUAGAGAAGAGAAAAGUCCUGGGGCCUCAUUUAUAAAGCUUGCUUACGCACAAAACCUGGCUAGAAAGUGCUUACGCCACUUCUUACGCAAGAGUUGGGAUUUAUAAAAGAAAAACUAGUGUAGGAAUGUGCGCAACUUUAAGCAAACUCCACACCUUGCUUACGCACUUUUUGGAGACAAUCGGAGCAAGGUGAAUUUACAAAUGUGCAAAAAAACAAAUUCCAUUUACAUGCGUUUGUUUUAAGAUUAAUAUGACUAAAUCUUUUUGGUUUACGAACUUUCACCACAUAAGCAGCGGUGGAUAACGGAGCAGUUUUUUUGGAACACAUGCAUGAGUGUCACACGUGCUUGUUCUUUCUGAUCCUCACCUGUCGCCACGCUCCGACGGUGCAAAGCCACGUUUUUCUUUGCCUCCACCUUUAGAUCAGACCACUUCUUCAUGAUUUCGGCACAGUGUUGUUUUCGUCAACAUCAUCGUCAACGAAAACAAAACUCCACGUGUUUGCGCGCACGCGGGUGUGUGUCUGUGUGUUGGAGGAGUACAGCAGGCUGAUGAGAGCUGUCAGAGCGGACAGAAGCUGCUCCUAUAUGUUUAGCGUUUAACUGACUGAGUUUUGCAACUCUGUUCGUCAUUUUCGUCUUGUCCCAUCAACGUAAAAGCACUUUCGUCUCGUCACAGUUUAGUCAUCUCCGACUUAUGUUUAGCUCAUCAACGUUACGUCUUCGUCGUGGAAGAAAAGGGAAAUAUUUUCGUCAACGAAAACAACCAGUGUUGUUCUCGUUGACGAAAAUAUUUCCCUUUUUUGACGCUGGCGUUGACGAAAAUAUUUGACGAAAUAUGGAGAAAACAACACUGUUUCGGCAACGCUGCGCUCAGUGCCAGCCGCAAUUACCGCCACGGCAACGGCGUUUUUAUUGGUGAUGCCACUCGAAUGGCCGCCGAAUAAGGUCUCCCGUCUCGCCGCCACCCCAUUUACAAGAACCUCCACCUCGGUCUCUGAAAAGUUUCUUUUUCUACGACUUGCUGAUGCCAUGAUGAAGCGUGAAAUGCCGUGGAUCCAUCAGGCUUAUUUAUAUGCAAAUCACAUUCAUGAGGUAAUUUGCAUGACCAUACAUGGUGAAUUUUGGGUGUGGAGAGGGCGGGGAAGAAUCAAAUCCCUGCUGCGCAACUUUCCGGCUGGUCUGUGAUUUAGAAAGGGAAAGUGCAUGCAGGUGUGCGUAGGCAGGGUUUUAUAAAUCAGAUUUUUUUUUUUUGCCUACGCACUUUUCAGCUUUUCAACUUACGUACACUUUUAGUAUGGAUCCUACGCCAGGUUUUAUAAAUGAGGCCCCUGGACUGUGUGGAGCUGUCGUCAUGGUUGUGUUUAAUAGGGUGGUGUUGUGUUACUUUACUGUCAGUUUAAUAGUGUUGGUGUAUUUGCUGUAACAUAACUGUAAAAGGAAGGUUUUUUGGAGGGAAAAAAAAUAAUAAAAUUCUGCGCAUCACCCCAUAUAACACUACCCUCGUGGUGGCGGAAGUGGCCUGGCUGACUGGGAAUCUCCUGGCCUGAAUUUCUCUCUCAGUCGGGCCCUGUUUUAGAGACAUGUCAAGUAAGACAAUGGACAAUUGAAUUUCCCUUCGGGGAUUAAUAAAGUUCUUAUUCUUAUUCCUAACACUAUGUCAUACAGCUUUUCCAUUGAGUACAGUUUAGAUUGUUCCUUGAGCAGCAUGUUGUAUACAGUUCCAAUUAGCGGUUUCUUUUUCCACCUUUAACCAAAAAGUCCUCAAAGGGUCCAGGGACUAGAUCAUAUUUUCAUUUAAAGUUUUCUUUAAUCCAGUUCCUAAACUGUAGAUAUCUAAAAAACUCUAUGUUUUCGAAGGCAAAGUGGGUCUGGAGCUCUAUAAAUGGAACAACAUAGUUAUUUUCAGUUAUGUCUGAGAGGUACUGCAUACCUUUUUCCCUCCAACUCUCCCAGUUAAGUUCCCUUUUUUGAAAUUUUAUUGAAUAAUUAUUCCAGAUCUUUGUUUUCUUGGGUAUGCUUCCACUGCUAAAACUAGGAAUUCUUCGAGGCCAAGAGCUUUGUUAUUUUGCAUGUUUCUCCUAGCGCGAAUAGUUUCUUCUACCGUAAAAUAAUGAGUCAAGUUCUUUAGCAGAAUCUGAGUUUAAAACUAGAAAACUGAGGCUAUCUCGGAACAAGUUCAUUUUGGUGGUGUCAGGUGGAGAUUCAGAUUCAUAUAAAGAGGAACAGAAUGAGUGAAAAACAGAAUUAAGGAAUAAUUCUGUAGGAAUAAAUUGAGCAUCAAUAAAAAUAAUAAUCAAUCUGAGAAAAAGACUGAUGCAUUUGUGGAAAGAAAGAAAAUUCCUUGGCAUGGGGGUUGUAAAAUCUCCAAGGAUCAAAGCAACCUUUUUGGACAUGAAAUCAGAAAGAGACCUGGGGCCUCAUUUAUAAAACCUGGCGUAGGAUUCAUACUAAAAGUGUACGUAAGUUGAAAAGCUGAAAAGUGCGUAGGCCAAAAAAAAAUCUGAUUUAUAAAACCCUGCCUAUGCACACCUGCACGCACUUUCCCUUUAUAAAUCACAGACCAGCCGGAAAGUUGCGCAGCAGGGAUUUGAUUCAUGCCCCGCCCUCCCACACCCAAGAUUCACCAUGUAUGGUCAUGCAAAUUACGUCAUGAAUGUGAUUUGCAUAUAAAUAAGCCUGAUGGCUCCACGGCAUUUCACGCUUAAUCAUCGCAUCAGCAAGUCGUAGAAAAAGAAACUUUUCGGAGACCGAGGUGGAGGUUCUUGUAAAUGAGGUGGCGGCGAGCAAGAGACCUUAUUCGGCGGCCAUUCGAGUGGCAUCACCAAUAAAAGAAAAGCCACCGAAUGGCACGCCGUUGCCGUGGCGGUAAGUGCGGCUGGCACUGAGCGCAGCGUUGCCGAAAUCAGGAAGAAAUGGCUGAUCUAAAGGUGGAGGCAAAGAAAAAAGUGGCUUUGCACCGUCGGAGCGUGGCGGCGACAGGUUGAGGAUCAGAAAACACAAGCACGUGUGACACUCAUGCAUGUGUUAAAAAAAAAAACUGCUCCGUUAUCCACCGCUGCUCAUGUGGUGAAAGUUCGUAAACCAAAAAGAUUUAGUCAUAUUAAUCUUAAAACAAAUGCAUGUAAAUGGAAUUAGUUUUUUUGCACAUUUGUAAUUUAACAUUGGCAAACUUUCUACACUGCCACAGUGGGGUCUGCACUUUCUGUGAGCAUCACUGCCUGGUACAGCAGCUGCAGUUCUCAGGACAGAAAGGCUGCAUCGAGUCAUCCGUUGUGCUGAACGCAUCACCCGGACUGCACUGCCCGGCCUCCAGGACAUCUACACCCAGUGGUGCAAGUCCAGGGCAAGACGGAUUAUCAAACACUCACCAUCCCAACCACAGACUGUUUGAGCGGCUGCCCUCGGGUAAGAGGCUUCGCUCCAUCAGAGCCAGGACUGAGAGGCUGAAAAGGAGCUUCCCCCGGGCCACUCGGAUCCUGAACUCCUCAUAACACACACCCCAUAAAUGGCUUCACAACACCCUCUGAACAGACUUUACAUUAUUAUUAUUCUGUUUUUUUGGCACAAUCGCAGACGUCACUUUCAUUUCACUGCCACUGUACCUGUACAUUUAGGCAUGUGACAAAUAAAACUUGAAACUUGUGCGGCAUUGCGCACGACUGUCACUGUAUGGCUUUUUAUAUGCGCGCUUUCCAUUAACCAUGUGUUCUCACCUUGCUCCGAUUGUCUCCAAAAAGUGCGUAAGCAAGGUGUGGAGUUUGCUUAAAGUUGCGCACAUUCCUACACUAGUUUUUUUUUAAUAAAUCCCAGCUCUUGCUUAAGAAGUGGCGUAAGCACUUUCAAGCCAGGUUUUGUGCGUAAGCAAGCUUUAUAAAUGAGGCCCCUGGACAUUAAUGAUAAAGUCAGAGUUCAUGGGUUAGAGCCAUUUAGAUUGGGAUUAAUUAAACAAUUCAUGUCCCCUCCAAUUAUAAGGAGCUUGUUAUUCGAUAAACGAAGACAUUCAAAAAGCUUAUUCAUAAAGUGUGGAUCAUUAAAAUUUGGGGCAUGUAUGUUAACUAAUAAAAUGGGAACAUGGAAUAGUGUACCUGUAAUAAUUAAGUAUCUUCCAUUUUUGUCUGAUAUAACCUUAGAAGCUGAAAACUGAAUUGACUUACCAAUUAAAAUGGCAACCCCCCUGGCUUUAGAGUUGAAAUUUGAGUGAAACACCUCAAAAAAACCCAAGGACAUUUAAGUCUGACCUGAUCUUUGGAAUGCAUGUGGGUUUUCUGGGGGUCCAGCUGUAAAACAAAAGGAGACUUGAAAAAAACGUAUCUUCAGCACCAUAAAGAGGCGGCAAUAUAAUGGUGUUAAUGAUAAGAAUAAGAAUAAGAAUAGCUUUAUUAAUCCCCGAAGGGAAAUUCAAUUAUCUGUUGUCUCACAAAAUAUGUCUCUAACAGUUAUCAAAGUUUAUUUAUAUAGCACUGUUCAUACAAAUGAAAUUGCAGCUUAAAGUGCUUUACAUCAGGACAAGAAAAGAAAAAAAAAAGUUAUUAAAAUAGACUAAAACAGACAAUAAAAUAUUAACUUGAAUUUAUUAAUAAAAGAAAGUAAAACGUGAUACUAAAAAAUAAAUUAAUUAUAAUAGUAAUUAAAAUAAUAAAGCUUUAUAUAUAAGCCAGGCUAAAUAGAUAAGUUUUUAGGUAAUGUUUAAAAAUUUCAAUAUUUGCAGCUUGUCUCAGACCCUCUGGAAGUUUGUUCCACAGUUUCGGAGCAUAGCAGCAAAAAGAAGCAUCAUCAAAUCUUUUUGUUCCGCUCUGUGGAAUGACUAAAAGAGAAGAUUGAGAGGAUCUGAGAGGCCGCCCUGGUUCAUAAAUUAAAAUCAUCUUUGAAUGGUAUUCUGGUGCCAGGCCAUGUAGAGCUUUAUAAACUAGUAAAAGAAUUUUAAAAUCUAUGCGAAAACUAACAGGCAGCCAGUGCAAAGACUAUAAAAUGGGUAUAAUAUAAGCUCUUCCCCUGGUCCUAGUCAAAACUCUAGCAGCAGAGUUUUGGAUAAGUUGUAGCUGGUUUAUUGUGCUUUUUGGUAGACCAAAGAGAAGAGUGUUACAGUAGUCAAGCCUGCUGGUUAUAAAAGCGUGCAUUAGUCUCUCUGUCUGGCUCAGAGAAAGAAACGGUCGUACUUUUGCUAUGUUUUUAAGAUGGUAAAAGGCUGUUUUAGUGACACCCCUAGCACGAGUUUUAAAAUUAAAAUCAAAGACCACCCCGAGAUUUCAUGCUUCUUGGCUGGGGUUAAGUCCUAUUUUGUGGAGUUUGGGGGUCAGUUUCUCUCUCUGAGCCUUUGAACCAAUUAUUAAAACCUCUGUUUUGUCCUGGUUGAGCUACCAUUUACAUAAGAGUUAUAAAGUCUGAUGGCUGUUGGUACAAAAGAUCUUUUGAACCUUUCUGUCCUGCAGUGAAGAGAGUGGAGCCGUCCACCACCAUUGGCCCUUUGGUCCAUCAAGGUGUUGUGGAGUGGGUGAUCCAUGUUCUGUAGAAUAGUCUCCACCUUCCUCAGUGUAGAUCUCUCCACCCCAUCCUCCAGCGAGUCCAGCUUGAAUCCUACCACAUAACCAGCCUUUUUCACCCGUUUUUGAAUUUCAUCUUAGUGGCUUUGUAUGCUGGCUGCCACAUGUCAUAAAAAGGAGAAGAGACAUACAAGAAGCAACAGCUGCUGGCAAGCUAGCUGAAAUAUCCCCCUGAGAGAUGUUCAAGAUUUACCAUUAAUCCAAAAACAACAUUAGAGCACAUGUCUCUCCAGGACAUGGAACAUUUAUACUUUUUAAAAGUUAUUUAACUGUUUUAUUUAUUUAUUUUAGUCUUUUGGGAUUUACAUGCAGUUGUGCACUCAGAAAUGAAAGCAUAGUUUGGCAAUGUGGGACGUAUAGCAACCUAAAAGCAAGAAAAAUAUCAUAAUAAAAGCAUGAUAAUAGUUCUAUAAGGAAAAGUCUUAUCUAAGAAGUGUCGGUCUCAUGGUUGAUGAUAAAUUAAAAUGUUUUAGAAAUGGGUGAUGAUAUUUAAUAAUAAUAAGAAUGCAUCAGAGCACUUUAUCAGAGACCACAGUGGUGGUAAACUACCUUAGCAGUCACAGCUGCCCUGGGGCAGACUGACAGAAAUAUGGCUGCCAGUUUGCACCUACAGCCUCUCCGACCACCACCACACAACACUCAACACACAAUCAUACACCAGUGGAGGAAACACACUGGGAGCAAGGUGGGUUUAAGUGUCUUCCCCAUGAACACAACAGACAGACUCGGGAUACAGUGGAAUUGAACCGCCAACCUUCCAGUUGUUGGAUGACCGCUCUACCUCCUUAGCUACUGCUGCCCCAUAUGAGAAAAAUGCACUAAUUAAAGGGGACCUGCCAUCAAAAUGUAAUUUUGUGUGAGUAUUUUGUGUCAGAUAAGGUCCAUAUUAUGUUCGUCUUAUGUUGUAAAUGUGAAAACAAACCGUUACGUCGUUUGCAUUCUGUAAAGGUUUAAAAUAAAGGAACGGGUAAACCAGGCCAAUUGAAAAAGCAGGUCCCUCUGACGUUGCGCUGACCUUGCUCAUUAUUAUUCACGAGCACGUCCUCGGUGAGCCGCGCCCACUCUCUCUUUCUCGUACUCAUUCCCAGUCAACAUCACUCUCCAUACUAGCCAGCGCGAGACCCAGCUACCACUGUAUCCGCUAUGGGUCUCUUCCAAACGACCGGUGUUUCCUUGGGUUCACUGCCGGGAAAAUGAACUUAAAGCUGGGCAGAAUGAAUGAGAAAACACCACUGGAGAUCUCUGGCUUCUUCAACUUCCACCUCCUCUUCGGACUCGGGGUCUAAAAUAUAAUACCUGCCAUACCGGUUUAAUACCUGCCAUUUUUAGCCUUUAGUAUAAGAUGACCAGACGUCCCCGAUUUCCGGGGACAGUCCCCGUAUUGGAUGACCUGUCCCCGGCUAAAGCUGUCCCCGAAAAUGUCCCCGAUUUAAGCGUUUCAUGAACGAGAGCAAAAAUGUUGCGUGUGGGUUCGAACAACGGUUAUUACAGUAGCCGAAUAGGUAGGAAGCACAGGUAAGCAGUCCUGAUCAACAGUUUUUAAGGGGGUUAUUACAAGGGGCAUGCGCUGCUACUAAACAGUACCGAGAUUUUGUCUGUGAUCACACAGCCCCUGCACCCUCCCCGCAGCCGCCGCUGCACCGAAUAUCCCCAGAUAUCAUUACAGACAUCUGGGCACCUUACUUUAGCACACAUUAGCAAAAUGGAUAAACUGAAAUCCGAACCUCCACUGCUGAGCCAAUCAGAGCACAGCAGGCUUCACAGCAGCGAUCCAAUCAGAGCAAAGCUCAUUACCAUAAAUGUUAAUGAGCCAAAACCAGUUGGUUUUCCUGUAAGGUUUUUUAGGCAUACUAAAACAAACCAUCAAAUAACUUUUCAGCUAAAAUUAUGUUGCAAACAUGAUCAGAUGACAUCAAGGAUUAUGAAAAAAUGAUAAAAAUGGGUAUGAAAUUUUGAUGGCAGGUCCCCUUUAAAGCUCAUGUGAUCUUUCAGUUUGUGUUGUUUCUGAUUGUCUUGUUUGUCAUGUAAGGUCACCAAUAUGAAUUUCAGUGUAUUUGGAAAAUGUCCAAAAAUUAAAAAGAAAAAAACCUCCUCAUAAAAGCUUUAAAGUUUAUGAAGUAAUGUGUAGCUCCACCCUUGUCUAGCCUUUCCUUGGAAUCAUUAUUUCAAAACAAACUUAAUUUCAUCUAAAUUACUGUUCUCUUUCUGCUUGUAUGAGCUGGGAUCUCCAGGGAAACACAGAGGAAGUCAGAAAAGUCAUCCUAGCUGGAUUUCCUGCUGGCUCACCGAGAAUUAACGAGGUCAGGUCUUCUGUGGCCUCAUUUGAGCAGUAAUAUUCCUGAAAGCACGUCAGGACAAAACAGUGAGGAUCUGUUUUAAUCUGCGUACCAUCAGGAGAUGGCCCUGGUAUUCAGGAGACAUGUUCCAACAUAACUUAAAGUAAAUGAGCUGGGACUCUAUUUGCACAUGUUCAGGACACUUCACUAACUUUUUAGAGCCGCUGCCUCUGUGAACACCUCAUGAAUGUGAACUUUGAGGACUUUUUUGUAACUAGAGGAUGGGUUGCAACCUUUAUUCUGGUUUAAACAUCAAAGGGACAAUACAAAGAUGUCACUGAUUGCUAAGAGAUUGAGACUGACAGAAAUGGAUAAAAGCCAGUAGUGUUAAAUCUCAAAGCUCUCAUUACUCUGUGCCGAUUUUCUCUUCUGAUCUGGAGCACUUAAAUGCAGUCUCACUUUUGCAUCAUUUUAUAAAGGAGGGAUGUUUUGAUUUUCUUUACGGGUAAACUUUAGAGAUAAUGUUUACACCUCUCAAAAAAUAUUGUUAGUUUCAGAUUUAAACCCCAAAAUGGUCUAAAAUCCGUUAAUAGGAGUUGACAAUCAGGCUUGAUGAAGGGAUGAGAAUAAAUCUAUCGGCCUCAGCAGAGUGAUGGAUUUAUUCUUGUCUCCAUGCUCAUCUUUAAUUGGGUCACAUUAGACCAUUUAGCUCUGCAAGAACCAUCCCUUUCUGCUCCAAAACAGCUCACACAGACUAGUUUUGGGGCAGAGUCCUUCACAACCAACACGCACUCCUCACUACGGUGUAGAUACUGUCUGCUGUCUCAAUGUGCUGCUGCAAUGACGCUAAGUAAUGCAAAAAUGAUAAUGUCAAACUCUGAUACAGACAUGAGAUUUUUAUAAUCCUUUUAAACAAACUUCCUUGUUAAAAUGAACCCACACUAUUUACUAUUGAUAGUCAAACAGAUGUCCCAGAAAGUACCAGAAGUACCAGAAACCAGACACUCACUAGGCCAAAUAAAUGAAUGAAUAAAUAAAAUUAUUUAGAGCAAAAAUGAACAGAUUUACUCUCUAGUUCAAAAAUGGUUUCAAUUAACUCAGGACUCCCACAGCACCCACAGAACAGGAGGUGUAUUUUUGUUUUCAAGUUGUUAUAGUUACAAGAUCGGUGAAUCAGAGACUUGACUGUUAGUGGAAGCACUGUAGCUGUUUGUGAGGGAGCUAACUGUGGGUUUGCUUUCCAGUACAGUUCACCUUUUCCCCUUGCUUUCUGAAUUAGAUUAUGUUUAUUCUGGUGCAUUUGCAUGGGCACCAAAGUAUUUUGAUCCUUUUGUAAAUCAAGUUUUUCUGUUUUAAAGAUGUUGGCCUGUGACAUUUUCUUUUCAAUUAAUCAGUUCUUCAUUGAUCUGUCUCAGCCUCAGUUCUGUAGAUGUCCUCAACAUGGUUUGUUCUGGUGUCUUUAACCUUGAACCUCCUUAAAUGAGCCAACUUCUAUCUGUAGACAGAUAUCCCAACAGAUCAUCCUUUAGGAUCUGGGAUUACAGCUGCAGCCCUAACAAAUGUGUGUGCUAAAAAGACAGGCCAAAAGUUUGGAUGCAAGAUCAGAUUUGAACAAAAAAAGAUCAUAGUUUCAUAUAUAUACUUAGCAGCACAAUAAACAUGACUAUUGUGUAAAGAGUAACUUAUCAGAAGACAUUUUGACUAUAAUUACGAGGUAUUUGAGUUAUUGUUGCUUAGACUUUGCUUUCUUUAAAGUAGCCUACUCUGGCUCUAACAACAGCUUGGCGUACACCAGGCAUUCGUUCCACAAGUGUUUUAAGGUAUGUUCUAGGGAUUGCAUUCCAAGCUUUCUUAAGUUCAUUAAAAAGAGACUGCUGAUUCGUGGGACGUGCUUUUCUGACCAAUCGAUCCAAUUCAUCCUGCACAAGCUCAAUUGAGAAAGGUCUGGAGACUGAGGGGGCCAAACCAUCUUUUGAAGAACACCUUCCUCUUCUUUUUUGUCAAGGUAACCCUGACAGAGCUUGGCAGAGUGCUUAGGGUCAUUGUCUUGCUGCAAAACAAACUUAUGAGCCACAAGUCUGAGUCCAGAUGGAACAGCAUGGUGCUGGAGGAUGGAGUGGUACUGUUCCUCCUUCAUGAUACCCUUUACUUCAAACAAAUCUCCUACUCCAUCACCUGCAAAACAUCCCUAUACCAUGGAACUACCACCUCCAUGCUGAAUUGUGGGUGUAACACAUGGUGCUUUCAGACGUUCACCAGUUUGUCUGCGGACAUAGACUCUGCGUUUUGAACCAAACAGUUCAAACUUGCUUUCAUCGGUCCAGAGAAUUUGUUUCUAGUCAUCAUAAGUCCAAUUUGCCCACUUUUGCCCACUCAUAUCUCUUUUUCUUGUUCUGUGGACGAAGUAGUGUUUUUUUGCAGAUACACAACCCUUCAGAUCAGCCUUUCUCAAAAGUCAAAGAUAUGACUUUCGACCUUGUCAUGUUGAUUUCCUCCCUUAUUUUUUGUGCUGUCUUUGGCCGAUCUCUUUUAAUGGUGACAAUUCUAUGUUUAUCCUCUGCUUUUGUAGUAACUCUCUUUCGUCCAGGCCUUUUUCUAUCAUCAUAACUUCCAGGUUCCUCUAGUCUCUUCAGAGUGUAGUGGACUCCUUUGUUAGACACCUUUAGUUGUUUUGCAAUUUCUCUUUCUGUGUACCCUUCUUUCCUCAAUGUACAAAUCUGUACUUUUGUUUCUUUACUCAGUUGCUUCUUUCUAGCCAUUUUUGCGGUAGUUUGAAUGCAGUUGAGAUUUAUUAGGAUUUCUGUAUGCAGACUCUCAAAAGCCAAAAAGUUGAAGUGAAUAAUCCUACUUAGUGGUGGGCAAAACCGUUCAUUUCAGUGAACCGGAUCAUUCCGGGUCAUUCAGUAAAAAGACCCGUUCAUUUCGUUCAUUUCGGUCAAUCGGUCAUUAGUCAGUCCGCUCGUUCAUGUUGUUCACGUUCGUUCAGACGCUGAGCGAACGGACUGACUGCACUUCAGACUCAACAGCGCAACAACAUGUGAUCUUGAAAUCUGAAGCAUUACACCCCUCCGGAUCCGAUGUUGCGAGCGUCUCAGCUCCCCGGUCCGACGUUACGACGCCCCCGCGGUCCGACGCUGUGACCGCUGCACUCCCCACUUCCCACCCCCGGUCCAACGCUGCGAUCGCGCUGCACUCCUUGUAAUAUAAAAUUAUAGUAGGAGUAACAAAAUAUAUAAGGUUUUUAAUGGUUUUAUUAUUUUGAGGUGCAUUAAAAACAAUAAUAAAAAGUACAAAAUGUCAACAGACAGUGCAAAUGCGUAUUAAUAGUUGUCUCUCUGCCUCUGGCUGCAGCAGCAGCUGUGUGCCUUUGUGUGUGUGUGACUGUCCCGCUCGCUCGGGCUCGGCUGUCGGCUCGUCGGCUGUCGGCGGCCAGUCAACUCGGUCUUUCAGUCAACUCGUUCAUCUGUCUGGAUCUUUCGUUCACUCGGUCUUUCAGUCAACUCGUUCACCGUCUGGAUCUUUCGUUCACUCGGUCUUUCAGCCAACUCGUUCACCAUCUGGAUCUUUCGUUCACUCGGUCUUUCAGUCAACUCGUUCACCGUCUGGAUCUUUCGUUCACUCAGUCUUUCAGUCAACUCGUUCAUCCGUCUGGGUCUUUCGUUCAACUCGGUCUUUCGUUCAACUCGGUCUUUUGUUCAUUUGACCUGUUCUUUCAGUCAACUCGGUCAUCCCGGUCUUUCAGUCAGCUCAGUAGUACUGCUGCUGCUUCUCUAAGCCCCACCCACACACAGAACGAGGUGCGACGAUAGGAUAAGACAGGCAAGCACGGAGAUAGUCCCUCUUCAGCCAAUCAAAAGAACUGAACGGACUGAACGGGUCAUUUGGGGGGGGGGGGACUAGUUCAUUUCGUUCACCAAAAAGAACUAGUUCUUUUGAUCCGUUCGUUCAAGACCGACACACCACUAAUCCUACUGUGAUUUGUUUUUUGCUUUUGCACUGAAGUUGUGACUCUUGCAAAUGUUUUCAACCCUAAAACUAAGCCCUAAUUAUCUUUUGCUGACAUAUAUUUAGCAAUGGUCUGUUAACAUCAAUGUAUAUCUAAAGGUAAAUGGAGUAAAAUGGUGCAGUUCCAUGAAAGCAACAUCUGAUCAUGGAGUAAAUACAUCCCAAAAUACAUACAACUCAUGUUGGAUUUUUAAAAAAGCAUUGUGAACAAAAACUUGAAGUUACUCCCAACUAUUCGGCCUGUAAUGGCCUUGCUUCCAAACUUUUGGCCUGUAGUGUAUAACGUAUCACAAGUAGGAUGUUAUAGUAGAAAUAAUCACGACAUCACCCUGCAUUGUCCUUGCAGCCCAUUAUCCUGUACUCUGAAUUUUUCUUAGUCUGAUAUAGUGUUUUAAAGUAGAGUUAAUUAAAUACAGCAGCUUAUUCUCCUAAACUCUCAGAGGUCCUGUGUAAUGAUGUCUAAGCUGCAGCUGUCCAACACAGCCUUAAUAGAGUUGUACAGGAAUGUAAUAUUCAUGUUUCUGGGAUUAUGACACAGACCCUCAUCAGAUCUCAUUUUCAAGUGUUCUUUUCAGCCUUUCUGCAUUUUAAUUUGUCUUUCUGCAUCUAUGAUUAGAUUAUGAAGAGUUAUCAGCCUUAUGCUGGCGCAGGUGACUUGUCCAGACAGCCUUCAGGGAGUUGUAUGUCCGGUACACUUUUUUACUUAUUUUUUGAUGGAUCCAAUAACCUGCAGAAAUUAAAACUGGCAAAUGAGAGGGAUUUACGUCCUUGGUCUGCAGCCCAAAUAUCAUAUUCAUAGUGCAUCCACCAUCAAAACCCAAGAAUUUUAGCGGAAGGGUGAUGCAGUAAAAUGACAAUUAAAAUCUGGAUAUGGGCAGACAGAUGUUAAGCUUCAUAUUAGCUGUUGAAAAAUAUUUUAUCAUCAGUCCCAGUGUUGUCUCAUUCCCAUAAUCCCUGUGCUCAGACUGGAUCAUUAGCAGAGAGAUGUGAGAUGACCAUUACAGAGGCUGCCUCAUUGAUGCUGAUCAUAGCAGACAAAGCAGUCAUGGUGAAAAUAAUGCCUCUUCUGUCUGCCUUUUCAGCAGAUGGAGAAUUAUCCUGACACCCCAAACAGUAAAGACAAAAAAGGGAAAAGGCAUGAAAUAGGCUACCACUCAAACUUGAAAAGUGAGGUGAUGAUAUCAGUGUUCUCCAUAACACUGGCUUCUCUUGUCCGAAUAAACUCACAGAAAACAGAAAUCCAGAAAGCUGCUGUGUCAUCCCUGCUGGUCUAUGUAUGCUUGCAAAGAGCAUCACACACAGAUCAAAGUGUUAGUAAUGAGAAACGAGCAUAUCUACAAGUCAAGAAACAAAAACAGUAUUGCUGUUUCUUGGGACUUGAGAUUAAAGUGCAGUGAAACAAAUGUCCAGAACAGAGGAAUGAAUAAUCGGUGCAUAUCCCUCAACUAUCAACUCAACUCAACUCAUCUUUAUUUAUAAAGCACUUUAAAACAACCACAGAUGAACAAAGUGCUCUACAUUCAUUGGCAAACACAGCUCAGACAUUAAAACAACUGAAAAGAAUAGAUAAAAGUAAGCAGAUAAUAAUCACUAAAAUAACAGUUUCAUUGUUUUUAAAAACGAAUUUAAAAACAAUAGAAACAACUAAAAUCAAACCAUAAAACACUAAAACAGGAGCAGAGUCUCGUGCGGGGUUUAAAAGCCAAGGAAUAAAAAUGAUUUGUAAGUAGGGUUGGGUACCAAGAACCGGUUCCUAAUGUCCGGUUCUGGUACCGUUAAGCAGAUUUUUGUAUUCUGAUUCUUUUUUUUUCUUUUGGUUGGGAGAGCCCAUAUUAGUUUGUUUUUGGGGCGUGUAUUACUCUGCUUGGCGUUCUCUUUGCGUCCGCUAGCAUGAACAUCACUCGUUUGAACAUGGACCACAAAAUAUCACUCGAAAGUCUGCCUUCAUUUUGAUUACAAAGAGGAGAACGGAGUAGCACAGUGCAACAUCUGCGAAAAAAAACAGUUUCUCCCUUUUCUUUUGCUCACCAGGAGACAGUGCAUGCUUGCGUCGCGUCAGUGGUUUCGCCUAGAAGUGAGCAGAGGGGCAGAGCAGCAGAGAGCACUGACGCGCUGUACUGUUUUACAAUGAAUGAAUACACGUUCUGUUGGUUUGGCGUGGAGCUCCACCUCUCAGAGUGCGUUUCCAAAUGAGCCAUUGAACAUGUUUGGUAAAUACAGUGGUCUGUGAUGCCAAGAUAUAGUACAUGCCAAACAAACUCAAAACUAAGGAAGAAAAAAAAAUGGGCUUCCAUACAAAAUCCCAAACAUUUGAAGGAUUUUAUAAACUCUCCCCGGACAGGCCAGACAGACUCCCAAAAGAGGAAAUGUCCAGAUAAAAGAGUAAGUAUAGUCACCCUUUUAAACACCUCUGUAUUCAUGGUGUAGAAAUAACUGAGUGCCCUGUCUUUGAUGCGCUGCGCUGGUCUUGUUCUAACCAGUCAGAAUCAGAUAAGUAAAACAAUAAAUUACUCCUGUCUUCUGCGAACAUUAAAGUGAUAAAUGAAUUGUACUGUAUAAGAUGGGUCAACUUAAAUAUCCAACUAACGUUAACCUGUGUUCUUUUUCAUAAAUAAACUACUUGACAUCAAAGAUUGAUAUUUAUAUAUUGGUUGAAAAUAGCCUUGUGUGAAAUUUACAGUAAAGUUUAUAUCAUUUCAAAAUUCAUGGAGAAGUUCAGACAUUUCACUCAAAAGGAACUCUGGUUAAUGCCCUCAUUUAAAACAUGCAUUUUUUUAUCCUGCCUUUUAAAAGAAUCGAAAUAGAGAAUCGUUAGGAACCAGAAUUGAAACGAGGAAUAGUUUAAAUUUUAACAAUGCCCAACCCUACUUUUAAGACAAGUUUUAAAAGUGGACAGUGAGGGAGCUUGCCUAAUGUUUAAGGAAAGCUUGUUCUACAAUUUAGGAGCAGCAACAAGAAAUGUUUGUUUCCCUCUGAGCUUCCGUUUUGACCUUGGUACCUCCAGGAGCAGCAGGUCAGCCAACCUGAGGCACCAGACGAGAGUGUAGGGGUGAAGGAGCUCAGAGAGGAAAGGCAGGGCCAGACCAUGUAAAGAUUUAAAAACAAAUAAAAGAAUCUUAAAUUCGACUCUAAAAUGAACAGGCCUCCUGGCCUCCCUCCACUGGAGUCAUGUGCUCCCUCUUACAUACUCCAGUUAAGAGGCGAGCGGCUGCAUUUUGCACCAACUGGAGACGUGCAAGAGAGGACUCCAAAAUAAAGUGCAUUACAGUAAUCCAGCCGAGAUGUGAUGGAUUACUGUUUCAAAGUGCUGUUGUGCAAGGAAAGGCUUCACCUUUGUCAGCUGCCUAAUUUGAAAAAAGCUAGACUUCACUUCUGAGCUAAUUUGCCUGUCCAAUUUAAAAUCACUGUCUAUCUUAAAACCAAAGUUUGAGACUAUUGGCUUUAGAUAAUCAGCUAAAGGACUCAAGUCAACAGAAGGGAGUUCACAAGAACCCUUGGGCCCAAACAUUAUCACUUCUUUCUUUUUCUCACUGAAAUUUAAAAAAGUUCACGGCCAUCCAGGCUUUAACGUCACAAUCUGCAGGCAGCAGUGGAAGCUGGAUCACAAUUGCAAUAAUAGCUGCUGUGGGAGAUGGCACCACACACAAACUGCUCACCAGUUUGGUCUAAAAGCUGCACCCUGUCAGCAGAAGGAGCUCUGAAUGUUUUGCCUCAGUGUGGCUGAACACUCAUGGCAUUAGUUUUAAAUAGUCUAUGGGUGUGACUGGUUUCAGCGUCAAUUACCCCACAAUAAGAACCUCAUAUUUUAGGUUCACCUCUAUAUAAGGGAGUCUCUGGCUUGAUUGCCUUCUUGAUUGAGAUCAAUCAAGAGUUCCUACCUUGAUCAUUACCAUCCAGCACUAAAUAAAGGUGUCAACUUAUACUUAGGAAUUUUCCACUGGAUGGUUGAAUCAGAUUCUCCCACAUGUCCUUAAACAAAAGACACCCCAUAAUUCCCUGGGUGACCCCCCCAGGUCUCAAAACUCAAACGCCCUCUCGUCCAGGAACCCCCAAUCUGCAUUUAGCUCUUUAACUUCCUCCAGCUGGGCCCCCUACUUUCAUGAGCUCACCUCCCCCAAGCGACAAGAGGGCCCAGGUGCCUUCACCGAGCGAGACGUCUGGGUAAUUUGGCCCGACACAUCCUGACACACGUACCCUGCUCUUACACCAGGGGGAGGGGAGGGGCUGUGGACAUAAACCACUGUCUCAUUAGGUUUGUUUGGAUGAGAUGGGAAACCUAAUGAGAUGUGGUGUAAUGACUAAAAACAUCUGAUCUCAACCCGCUCCAAACAAAGCAUCUCAGUAAGGUCUGGAGUCAGGGCCAAAGUCAUAUCACAGCACACACACACACACACACACACACACACAUGCACGCACGCGUGUGCGCACACUCGGGGAAGGGAGAGGGGACAGUGAGGGAAUCCAAGUUCAAGCACUUCAGAAAAAGGACAGAGUCACAAAGGGAGCUAUCAGGAAAGGAGAGAAAGAUAAAGAUCUGAAUAAGAGUAAAAACAAAAACAACAAAAACUCUUCAGAUAACGUUUUUCAUAACUAAAACCAUUUUAUGUUUUUUUCGUUUGUUUUUCAAUUUGAGGUGAGAACUUUUAUUUCCAUUUAAUUUUGGUGUAUUCAGUUACUUUUUGGUGAUAUGGUGGCCCUGAAGGUCAAUUAUAUGAACACAACAAAAAAUAAAAAACAAAAUUAGGAAAAUAAAAUGGCGUAGGUCUCAGGCGUUAAAGAAUCGAAUUCAAAAAGGUUUGAUGAACUUUAUGAAUCAAUUAAUGGAUUGAAAAGGGAUACAUGAGCCACUUUAAACAGAGUUAUCAACACAGAAAAGCCUCUUGGUGUUAUAGAGGACCAGAUGUUAAGUGAUAGCACAACUCUGGAAAACCUUACAAAAGAAGUGGGCUCGUUGAUAAUGAAAUGAACCAACUUCAAUAGCAUUUGUACUGUUCAAACUGCGCCAUAAAUAUUUUAAAAGCGGCGACAAAGCAGGCAAAAUGAUGGCCUUGGGGUUAAAACAACACCAGAAUUGGCAAUCGAUAUCACCCAUAUGUGAUAGUACUGGUACAGUUAUUUUUGAACAAACGCAAAUUAACACAGCUUUCAGAGAUUUUUUCUGUAACCUGUAUCAGACUGAAGGAAAAACAUAUAAAUGAAAGACAUAUAGAAACAUUCUUAAAGGACAUUUCCUUACCAACUUAAAAAAAAAUAAGAUAGAGUAAGCUUGGUGACAACUGUAAGCGAGAGCGAAAUAUUAGCUGCUUUGAAAGCCUUUCCAACAGGGAAAGCACCAGGCAAUGAUGGCUUUUCUGUUGAAUUUUUAUAAAUGUUUUCAACAAAAAUUUUCUCCACUUCUUGCUUUAUUGUUUAAUGAUACAUUAGCCAAUCAAUCCAUGCCGUUAACUAUCCGCGAAGCCACCAUUUCCUUGUUGCCCAAACCUGGCAGGGAUCAUUCAAAUAUGUCAAUUUGUCGCCCUAUAAGUAUGUUAAAUAAUGACAACAAGCUUUUUGCUAAAAUUCUUGCUGUGCGCUUACAGACUGUCAUCUCCUCAUUAAUUCAUCUCAAUCAAGUUAAGUUCCAGUAGACUUGCCUCCAACAACAUGAGGAGACUUCUCCAUGUCAUGGAGAGAGUGAGCACUUUUCAGCAUCUAACUAUAGCCAUAUUGCUGGAUGCUGAAAAGGCCUUUGACAGGGUAGAGUGGCGAUACCUGUUUUAUGUUCUGUCUAAGUUUGCUUUUGGUCCAGUCAUUCUUAGCUGGGUGAGGGCCCUGUAUAACAAACCAGCUGUAUCUGAGCCCUUCCAACUCAAAAGAGCUACCUAGCAGGGUUGCCCAGCCUCACCAUCUCUUUUUGUUCUGGCUCUUGAACCUCUUGCAUGUGCUAUUCGAACAGAGAAGGAAAUCACUGGUAGCAACAUUGGGGGAUAUGAUUUUAAAGAUAGUUUAUUCACAGAUGAUUUGUUAUCAACAGUAUCACAUCCAAGUCAGUCAAUUCUGCAGGUGAUGAAAAUAAUUGAUGCAUAUGGAAGGUUCUCUGGUUAUACAGUAAAUUACAACAAGAGUGAAGCCAUUCCUUUCAACCACCUAACCUUCUCUUCUCACCUGGGUCCUGCCCCUUUUCAGUGGAAACCAAAUGGAAUGAGAUAUCCUGGGUUAAACAUAAGGACUCUUAUGAAAGACAUUUUUGAUUGAAAUGGUCCACACCUCCUGAAAAAGAUAAGGGAUGAUGUCAAGGGAUGCAACAGCGCACAUUUUGUUUUUGGUACUGGCACAAUGCAGAAUGUUUUCCACAUAGUAGGUCCCCACCCAGCUGUAGACCCAGGUUGAAGAUCUUGUGGAGAAGUUGACACAGUUCUGCAGCACAGUCUCUAAGCAACCUUGGACACACACCAUCUGGACCAGCUGCCUUUGCAGGGCAAAGUCUUCCAAGCUCCACCCUCACCCCUGUUUUGGUGACAGACAAGGACUGGUGUUCUAGGAGGGAGGCAGUUGAAGUGGUUGAGACAUUUGAAUGAGAUGGAGGAGGAACGAGAGAAGUUGUAGUGGAGAUUUGUUGCAGAGAGGAAGGUGGAGUAGCAGUGGAAGUGGGUGUGACAGCAGUGUCAAAUCUGUUGAAGAACAGGUUGAGUUCAUCAGCUCUUUCCAGAUCACCCACCACUGGCUGUCUUUUCUUUUUAUUGCUGUGUCCAGAGAUGGUACUGAUUCCUCUCCACACUUGUUUUCUCUAGUAGGACAGUUCACAAACUGUGUGAAUCCAGUCAGGUGAGAGGAGAGGGUGACAUGGUUGAAGUCUCCUGAUAUUAUUAUUGGUGCCUCUGGGUGUUGAGUCUGUAGCCUGGCAACACUAUUUUGCAGAACAUUGCAUGGAAUUUCUUCAGUUGAUUUGGGUGGAAUGUAAACAACUACUGUUAUGAUAUGACUAAA
Molecule: non-coding RNA, 46642 nt
Organism: Xyrichtys novacula (pearly razorfish)
Lineage: Eukaryota; Metazoa; Chordata; Actinopteri; Labriformes; Labridae
Source: the annotation of a GenBank genome assembly